UGUAUUUCCCUUUUCAACCAAGAGACCGGUUGGAUGACCAGUCUGUACUACUUUCACCCCCUUUCCUUCCUGUUUGUACCAAGUCCGAUGUACAUACUAAAUUCCCCCACCCCCACUUUAUUUCUUGUUUGAACCAAGUAGUACAAGAUUCGACUCCAUGAAGUAGCUUUACCUCUAACAAUAGAAGAAAAAAAUAUGUGACGUUGGACCAUCCGAUCAAGAGGGGCUGAGAGGUAGAAAAUGAUGCACAUGCAGCGACGUAGCAAGCUGGGGAAGUAGAGCUAAGGCGGUUUCGAAUGAAGAUAUACUUGAAGUUCGUAGGGAUGUGGAUAGGUGGGCGGCGGGAGGCCGGAUCCGCCCACAGGCAACGAUGAAGGGAUCGGAGGACCUCCCACGCCGGCGCUCGGCCAAAGAUAACGGUGGGGCCGGCAGUGGGUCUCCUCCCUCGCUGUUGACGAUGGCCUAAACGCUGCCCCUCCUCCCCUUCACCAGCAGAGGGGGAUACGUCCGGAUCUGUAACCAGCGGUGAGGAUAGAAAGCCAGUGUUUUUUGAAGGGAGAAAGAUAGUGUUACUACCCCUAUCUUGUUUAGAUCUGGAGAGGAUGAGAGUGUGUGAAUAGAGAAACCCUAGCAAGCAAGCGCGGAGGCUCCGGCCUAUAUAUACGUAGUGAGCAACCCUAGCAAGCAAGCAACCCCUAUCUUCAUCAACUCGUACAAGACCGAGAAAUUUGAUUACUACAACACCCUCUCCCUCGCGGACUGAGCUCCGGUGCCUUAAUUGCACCUGCCUUUGGCUGCAUGAUAGGAGGGCCAACCACCUGUUGGGCCCACCUGUCAUAGACGCAAAGGCAGGAGUAGUAAGUAGAAGCUUUCACUACACGCUAUCCCUCCCGCACGAGGUGGACAGACAUGCAACAGUGGAUUCGAUACUGUAGAAGUAGGAGUAACAUCAUUGUUCGUCUUCUCGAAGAGGCGAAGAGCCAAGCGCAACCCGAACGUGGCAGUUCCAAACGCUCGCGUGGUGCGGUUCCUUGGAGUACUAUCCAGGCUCUUGCAUGAGACAAAAUCACUAUUGUUUAACAAUUAAAUUCCAUUAUCCAUUGGUUGAUACUCAUUCUACAUAGGUCCACGCGCUUAGCACCGUUUCCUCCUGGGGUCACCAAUGUUUAUUUGCUAAUUAAUAGCAUUGCAUGCAAUGAACUAGCCAUUGCAAGUCAUUAAAAGCAUGCACACCUCUCAUCUCUUAUUGGUUGAUAUGUCAAGAAACAAGAAACAAGGUAGAAGUUAAUGCACCGCGCCUAAGUGUUUUGGGACUACGUAUUUGGUUUUCAUAAGAUGACUUACACACCUAGACGAAGGGAGUAGUAUAGCCCUGUAAACCGGAAAGGAGUAUUUGCCUUUCUAGAGAUUUCAACAAGUGACUAGACUACACCGUGUGCAGUACUCCCUCCCUUCCGGUUUAUAGGGCUCAAAUCUCAAAUUUCAUGAACCAAGGAAUUUUGCGAUUGGAGAAAUGUAUCUCGUACUUUACAAAACUACCCUAAUUAAACUCAUGCAUUAAUUACGUAGUUCUCUCGUUUUCCUCUCCGCCUUGGUCGCGGUGCACAAUAUUGAGCACUCCUACUCCCUCCUUUCCAGUUUAUAGGGCUUAUCUCAAAAUCUUAGUUUUUUCAUUUUAUAAGGCUCAAUUUGGUUGUUCCCCAUCACAAGUUCAGAUUCCAAGGUGCAUUAAAUAAUUGCAUGCAGGUAUUAAGAGAAAAUUGACCAAUGCAUGUACUUUAUGCAUGCAUGCAUUGCAAUUAAUACAUUGGUAAACAUACAUUUUUGAAGAAAACAAGAGCAUUAAUUGGGUGCUUUUGCAAAUUACAAAAAGGAUUCCACCACUCACCAUCUACCUUGGUUGGUGAAAUUUNNNNNNNNNNUUAAUACAUUGGUAAACAUACAUUUUUGAAGAAAACAAGAGCAUUAAUUGGGUGCUUUUGCAAAUUACAAAAAAAUAUGUGAUGGGAAAAAAUAUGUUUACCAAUGCAUUAAUUGCAAUGCAUGCAUGCAUAAAUUGCAUGCAUUGGUCAAUUUUCUCUUAAUACUUGCAUGCAAUGAUUUAGUUUACCUUGGAAUAUGAACAUGUGAUGGGAAACAACAAAAUUGAGCCUUAUAAAAUGGAAAAACUAAUAUUUUGAGAUAAGCCUAUAAACCGAAAAGGAGGGAGUAUAUGACUAGCAGCUCUAUCUACAUGCGGGACAUUUCAAAGCAUCUGGGCCCACGUGCCAUCCACCAAAUCACAACGAGGUGCUACAGUCGAGACUCACCUAUCACCCCGGUGUGGCCGUCAUGACCCGUCAUAUCACAAAACGCACACCUUUACCAGCAGUGGUAAGGUGGCCUCCAAGUUGGACUGGACGAGGCAACCAUCAUUUCACUGGAACGCUCGUUCAAGCCCUUUCUUCCCUUUCUUGAAGAAAACCUCACUCCAGGCUACUCACUUCUGCCAUUUUUCUUCUGUACCAACGAAGUAAAGGUGGGCGAAACAGUUAUGCUACUAUAUUUUCAUUCCAAGAAUCUUCUUUUUGCGAAGCACCGACCGAUUCUCAAAUCCUAUUCUUUUCGUGUUUUCAUUGCGAUUGUGGUUUCCUAUCGAUUGAUUUUUGUUUGUCAGUUCAUUGAUGGAUCCUGGAGCACAAGGCAAAGAGUUGCCGGCGGACAACCCACUGGAGACAGCGAUCUCCAGGAAGCGAGCACCGACCAACGAGUUGACCAUGUUGGCGGGCCAACCCAUGGAGACGAAGAACUCCAAGAAACAAGCACUGUCCCAAGAGUUGAGGACGUUGGCGGACGAACUGCUCAAAGAAAGUUGGAAGAACAACAAUGGCCCCACCGUGCCUACCCCAGGAACUCUCAUUGCCACCUAUGUGAGGCUCAACACCGAGUUUGAGGAGAUAGUCGCCGUUGAGAAGCAGUAUUCCCCUGGCAAGGUGAUGGCCCCCAUCGAGGACAAGGAGAUGGCCCCCGGAGGGAUGAGAUCCCCCGGUGAGCUGCACAAGGUAAAAAAUAAUGGCUUAUUACCAUAGUUGUGGUUUUUGAUUAUUUGCAAUGUGCUUGCUAAUAUGUUAGGGUUGUGCAGGUGCCGGUGGACGUCCUUGAUGAUUCCGAUGUCGUGGCCCGUCCUGUUGGCAUCGCCCCGGAGAUCGAUUCCGAUGACGCUGUCCAUCCUGUGGACAUCGCCCCAGAGAUCGAUUCCGAUGUCGCGGUCAGUCCUGCGGACAUCGCCCCAGAAAUCGAUUCCCAUGCCGCUGUCCGUGCUGUGGUCAUUGCCCGAGAGAUUGAUGACAAGAAAUAGUUGGUCGUGCUAAUCCUUCAGGGUAGUUUGCAUUGCCCUGUGUUUAAUUACCAGAACAAUGCGUGUUAUCAAACCAUCUUAGGGCUAGUGCACUGUCUUGUGUGGGCGGAUCUUCCUACUUUUGUUUGAUAGUUUAUCAUGCGAACCCUCUCCGAGUUAUGGAAACAUAUGUAUCCUCACCAGCUUUUGAUGUAAUAUAUGGCAUGAUUAGAUGUAAGUUUGAACUGUUUAUCAUAUUAGCAGGGCUUAUUUGAUGAUUCUUGGUGUUAGUAGGCUAGCUACUGUGCGAGCUAUAGUACUUGCAAAACACUCACCGAAGAGAAACGUUGGGGCUAAUGAGCUCGUGGUACGCUUAUACUUAUCCCUCAUCGAUCGACCAAUAGCCCUAGCUCCUAAAAUUGUAGGCUUAGCGAUCGAUGACCUAGGUGGGCUAGUUCGGCCUAGUGGGUUUUAGUGAUAUGACGUGCAACACAAAAUCAUAGCAGUGCAGAGACGUACUCCCUCCGUUCCAAAAUAGAUGACCUAGGCGGGCUAGUUUGGCCUAGUGGGUUUCAGUGAUAUGACGUGGUACAGUGCCGUCCAGUCUUCGGGUGUGGUAGCAGUAUUGCGGGUACAGUAAGUUUUCUUGAAGAAGCGGAAUUCAACGAAGUCAUGAUGGUUCCUUCGUCCGAACAACUUACAGUGGGAAAGGUUGGGCCUGCGAUACGACCGGGGUAGACCGGGAUAAUUUUGUGCAUGGCAGGUGGACUAGGAUGGUCGACGUCCCACAUGUCGGCGAAUGAAAGUAUUCUUUCCGAUAUAGAGGACGAGCAACGAGUAUUCAUUGUUUAUUUUUGAUGAAAGCUAUUGUCUCCACUGUUACGACGGAGGAGUGUGAAACACGGCAGCCCAGUGAACUUGGCAUGUGCACCACUCCCUCCUUCCUCAUGUAAUGCCCAGGUUACAGCUUUUUCUCACUUUCUCUCUAUCUAUUUCCUCUCAAAUGUUUUUUACCUUUAUUUUUUUAAGACAGAAUUGUUUUUAUGCCUUUUUUAGAAUUAUUUUUUAUACCUAGGAGCACAUGUAGAGACGGGCUUUUGCAGAGCCCACUCCUUGACUUUGUCAAUGCCUCUCUCUCCUCCACAUAAGGAGUACUACUUGCUAUGCAUGCAUGCGGCGGGCAGCUGGCGUCUUGAGGGGCCAGGGCGGUGAGAUCGAGCUCCGGAAGUGGUCCGGACUCUAGCAUAAUUUUGGUUUUUAUAGUAUUUCUUUCUCCAUUGAUAGGUAGGCCUGCAUAGAUAGAUAAAGAACACGAGCUGAUGAGGCGCAUGCGGACUGUUUGACUGGUCAACCAGACAAAUACGGAGCUAUACGCUGAGCCAGUGACCAUAUAAUCACCAUAUCUCAUAUACAAUGAUCAAAGUGAGCUACCAAGACAAGGUCGAUGACCGCCAAUGCAUUUUACUCGGUAAUAAAUGACCAGGAUUGAAGGGGAAUCCAAAUUUGCUUCAUCUUCUGUCCUUGAGCUCUUGACAAACCAAUGCACUAUACGGUUGUCCGGCCACUCCACCCCAGAGCUCUCACCAAGCGUCGUUCAUGCCACCGCGCUGCACACUAACCGGUAAGGCAGCGAUGGCAUCCCGCCGCGCCGAGUUCCUCGCCGCCCACGACCGCACACAAAAUGGUAGGGAAGCGAUAGCAUCCCGCCAUGCCAAGUUCAUCGCUGCUCGCGACCUCACAACUAUGUGGGAGCAAUUUGAAGAUGGCAAGGCCGAAUGGGCGGUAGAGCAAGAGGCGGCCAAAGCCGCACAAAGAGAGCGGAAAAGUCAGAAAACACUCAAGAAAAGAGAGGCCCGCCGCCGCAAGAAAGAAAAGGACGCACGCACUGCUGCGGAGAGGUCGGCGGAGAUCCAAGCACGGUGGGGUGUCUCCGACAAAGCCGGGAAGGAGAACGACGGCGUCUGGACAGCAUGUGAGAAGUAGUAGUACUAGUAGUUAGUGUGUGUGUGUGUGUCUGAGUACGAGCAUGUACCAGUACUACUAGUUACUACUGUAGUUUUUAGAGCAAAUUACCAGUACAUUGGCCUAGACUAAAUGGAAAAAUUCCUAUCCUAAGCAUCAAAUGACAUCUCUUUCUCUAUAGGAAUUGAGAUGCAUGUCAUCUCACUUCCUAUGAUUUUCAUAUUCCUAUCCUAUGAACGAAAGGAGGCCUCUGUUGUAGUAACUACUGUAGCUAGCAGUACUGCUGGUACAGUAGUUUUCUUCAAGAAGUGGAAUUCAACGAAGUCAUGAUGGUUCCUUCGUCCAAGCAACUUCAAAGUGGGAAGUGGGCCUGUGAUUUGACGGCUCAUUAGUCAUUGUUACUGCGGCGCGAUGAUCUGGGUGACUCCCUUGGAGUUCUGCGUGCAUGGCAAGUGGACCAGGAUGGUCGACGUCCCACAUGUUGGCGAACGGAGUAGUAUUCUUUCCGAUAUCGAGGUAUAGUAUCACUGCUGAUUGGUUCGCAAAAAAAUAGUAUCAUUGCUGAUUUAUAAUUAUUUUUUAUUUCUGAUGAAUGUUAGCGUUUCAACUCUUACGACGAAGGGUGCCAAACACGGCACGUGCUAGAUGUCCCAAACAUCAGCAAAAGGAGUGGGACAUGAACAGCGUGGUAGAGCCCAGCGUAAAAAAACAGCGUGGUAGAGCGUCUCCACUUCUUCCACUUCUGGGUCGGAGACACACGUAGUAGUACUUAGUGGUAUGAACGAUACAAAGUGCGACCUGGAGACAAAGACAUGUUUUCUGCAAAAAAAAUGGAGACAAAGACACGUCUAGUUGGAAGGUCUUGGGGCAUACACGUAAACAAAUAUAGAAUUUAAUAUGUGCCUCCAACUAAUAUAGUAGUAGUAGAGUACUUAGCCACGUAAUACUCCAUAACAUCACCGUGCAUUGCACGUACAACAUUUAGUGGUAGUACGUAGUAAGAGACAAAUGCCGCCCAAGAGUUCCCUUCUCGACCUACUUUUGGGUGUUUGGUAGAGUGUAUGGAGGGUGCAUCAGUCCACACUAGUUUAGCACAAAUACACUAGAAGCAUGCAUGAACAGAGCAUGCAUGAAGAGGGGUGUUGAGUUGAGCAUGCCUAAAGAGGGAACAACUAUGCUGAGACGAGAAUGCAACCAAACACACCCUAUAUGCCACGCAUGUUCAUAUGAUUUGUGCCUUUCUACUUCACUUACUGCGCUACAUUACUCAGGUUCGUACGUCCACUCCUGGGUACAUGUUCGUCUCGUAGUUCCAGUCCCACGUGUUCUUCAUAUAGAUGGAACAAUCCUUUCAUAACACGUGCACCUUGAUGCUAGUAGAUGUCUCACGUGUUGGCAAAAGGAUGAACAAAGCUCACGUAAAAAAUAGAGUGGAAGAACAUAGAUUCCGGACGACCGAGAAGGAGCAAGGAACCUCGUGGUGGAGCGUCUGCACUCAUAAUAUUUAAUAUUAUUCAGCGAUAUAAAAUUAACCAAUCAUCUCCACAGUGGACUGGAAGAGUAUGAAACACGGUAGCCAAGUGUAGUUACAUCAUACUAGUACAUGGCUAACCCACGCUAUCACCAUAUUUCUUGGCUUCCGUGCGACACCUAUCUCUAGUAAUCCAGCAGCCUGUAUCGCUUCUCCCUCCUCGUCUCUAUCAAAGUGCGGCGGGCUGGCGUUUCUGCCGUCUAUUGAGGUCGGUUAACUAUCACAUGUUAGCGACAUGCCAAGAGCAUUCUCAAAAAAAUCCCUUCAUGUUCCGUUUUCAAAAAGAAAAAAAUCCUUUCACGUACGAAUUUGCCUGUAUGCUUUGAGCAACUUGCAUGUCCUAUACUGCUCCUGUUUGAUACUCUAACUUAGCUAGAGGUUAGACUAACUCAUGAAUAACCCUGAACUAACUGUAGCCAAAGAGGUGUUUGGGUGACAGGGUUAGAUUGACAAUAAAUGCACUUCAUGGAGAGAGAAAAGUGAUUUUUCAGUGGUCCCAAUGAGAACUAUCUCCAGUUAGCACCACUUGGGUGGGAUAGUUUUUUUUGGUGGGUUCGGUGCAACUUUCUCCAAUUUAAACCCUCAUGCUUGGAUAGUUUAGGGCUAUUUGAGCACCAACUAACUCCAAUUUAAACCCUCAUGCUUGGAUAGUUUAGGGCUAUCCAAACAGGGCCUAUGGCCAGUCUCAACGCGGAACAGUCGCGUGCACCGGGAAGUGGCGCUCUCUCGGCCGUCGCGCCACUUCAAAGCCAGCACUAGUGAGAGGUCGCCUCCGCUCUGGCCGGGCAUUAAUGCGGCACUGAUGCUCCAGGGUGAUGCUGACCGUUUCACGUGGGAAGCGUGCGCUAGCAAGGGAGUAUAGGUUUUGAACCAUUUCAGGUAUAGUACUGGUAGUUUGCAAAACUACUCAAUUAUUGCACUUGGUUUCCUAGGAAAUUGUGGUAAAAAACGUUACUCCACAGCCCGCUUCCCUUCUCCUUCCUCUUCCACCGCCCGGGCACAUCCGCGGGAAGCGACCGGUCAACCCUUAUAUAGGAGUGCUAGCACAAAAAGAUGCAUGCAUGGCCACUAAAAUUUCCAUAUUAAAGCGCCGCUCCGGCGGGAGUAUGGCGUAUGUUGUUAUCUUCGGCCGGCCCAUGGCUACCGGGCGACGGCGACCAGAGAAGAGGCGGCAGGAGGGGAAUGAAUGCAGCUACUGUUUGGGUUCGCCUUCCGGCUUAAAUAAAUGCGCAGCAUCACGUGUACCCGCGGGUGCACAAAUUGUAACAUAUGUGUCUGCUUAAGUGGGCGUCACGUAACUGUUGUGUGUGUGAGAGAGAUUCUGAGAGACAGAGUGCGUGUGUGCGACUCUACUCUUCGGACAUGUACUCAACCUUUUGCAUCGGGAUAUAAGUAUAAUGGUAUUUACUUUAGCUAGUGAUUUACGUGGCCAUGUUAACGUGGUUGUGUCAAAAAAAUGUCACUUCCUGCUCAUGAUUUGCGUUAUAUAGUUACAAGCAAGAUUCUCGUGCAUUGCACGGAACAUCAAUAUGCAUUUUUUUACAGAACACCUGUUGUGAUUGACCCAUGCAGGAGUAAUCCCAUGUGUAAAAACUAAUGAUAUCUCGAGAAUUUUAUCGAAAAACUGGUAUCAUGAGAAUGUCAUCGAAAAAAUGAAAGAUGAGAGAUAAGGCGAGGAGGAGUGGAGCGUGGUGGUGACUGGUAGUCGAAAUGGGCGGAGGCAUGGGCAGCGGCCAGCAUGCAUGCUAGAUUGUUCCAGAGACUUAUUCCUUUUCUAAUUGUUGAGCAAUGAGGUUGCGGGAGAUAAUGAUGUGGAGAGAGGUGCGGGUCUCUUUUGUAAAAUUAUCAUAGUUUGCUUUCUAUCCUCAGAUAUAGAUCAUAUGGUCUGUAUUACAAGAUGGCAGGCACACCAUCACCACCAACUCGUUUUUAUAAGGGUACAGAUGAUAAGUUUGCUGACUACUAAAGUAAAGUGGAUUUUGUCCAUGUUAUGCAAGUAAAUAAAGCUGAUUGUUCAUCAUACGGGUAAGGUUGGAUGAAGGGUGGUAGGAACAAAUGCUCCGCCUAGAGCAUGUGUGUGUGAGAUGGAGUCUUAGUGUGUGUGUGUGGGGGUGUGUGUGUGUGAGAGAGAGAGAGAGAUGGAGUCUUAGUUUGUGUGUGUGUGAGAGAGGNNNNNNNNNNNNNNNNNNNNNNNNNNNNNNNNNNNNNNNNNNNNNNNNNNNNNNNNNNNNNNNNNNNNNNNNNNNNNNNNNNNNNNNNNNNNNNNNNNNNNNNNNNNNNNNNNNNNNNNNNNNNNNNNNNNNNNNNNNNNNNNNNNNNNNNNNNNNNNNNNNNNNNNNNNNNNNNNNNNCUUAGUGUGUGUGGGGGGGGGGGCGUGCGUGCUUGCGCGCGUGUGUGUGUGUGUGUUUGUGUGUAUGUGUGUGAGAGAGAGAGAUGGAGUCUUAGUGUGUGUGUGUUGGGGGGUGCGUGUGUGCAUGUGUGUCGCGGGGUCCUCUGUGGUGGAUGCAAUUUAAGUGUCGAUGGCUUUCAUCAUAGAGAGGUGAUGUGUAUGGCAGAGGCCACCAACGAUGGGGUGCGAGAGAGAAAAUGCCCGUAGAGAGGGAAGAGAAGGUGUGUGCGCGUGAGAGGAGUCGACUUCGAGAGAACGUGUUUGUUCGAGAGACACCAAGGAAGACUACUAUAUAUCGAUGGUGCAUGUAGGCGGGAAUUAAACUAAUGGAUGGUCUUAUUGGUUUCAGGGAUAUAUGGGAAGAGUGAGAGGCGGGGGGUAGCCAGAAGGAGAUUGUUAAGUGUAAGUGUGUGUUUUACCCAUCCAGGCGGAAGUUAUGUGCACAAAAGAGGAGAACGAUUCGAUGUGGCGUUAGGAUUGAGGGUAAUUAACUACGUAUGGAGACAUAGAGACCUUGAACAUGCAUGUGUGAGAGGUAUACAUGUAUACGUGGGAUGUGUGUGUGCGCGCAUGCAUGAUCAAGAUAAAAGAAAGAAGACAUAAGUCAUAAGAUCAACGACAUGGGAGAGACGGAUUGGUAUGACAAUAUGCAUGCAUGUGAGAAUGCAUGGAAGAAGUCCCGACAAUUGAGCAUGUGUUUUUACCUUUAAGAGAUAGUGGCGUGGGCUGGAGCAUGCAUCUAUGGCGAGCAGAGGGAGUGAGGCGCAACGAUUGUGCAAAAGAGACCAACCUAUAAAUGCAUAUGUAUGGAGAGACAUAUAUAGUGUGGGUGAUAGGAAGCAAGACUCCGUGCGAGAAAGAAAUGUUGACGGAGAAACUACAGAUAGAUACAGAGAUGGAGAUGCUAGCUAGAGGGACAUCUGCUAGUUUGGGUGUUGGAGAUGACCGUCAGGUGGUUCAAAGGGUGAAGUUAUAUAUGUGUGUGAGAGGGCACUUGACUACAUGUAGAGAGAAACAUAUGUAGUGUGCGUGAUAGGAAUCAAGAGUGAGGGCGAGAAAGAAGGUUGAUGGAGAAACAGAUAAAUAGAAAGAUAAAGAUGCUAGCUAGUGUGCGUUAGAGAUAGGAGUAUAGUGGAUUAGAAGGCUGGGUUAUGUGUGUGUCGGUGUGAGAGAGAUAGAGAGAGGGUGCGUGUGAGUCACAUACAAACAGAUAUCAGAGUGAAAUGAGAUCCAGAGAGACAGAGUUUUGUGUCUGCGAGAGAGAAAGAUAUUUCACAACGAGAGUGAUAGCUAGAGAGACAUAUGAGGGAACACAAGAUAUCUCUAGGGAGAGAGGGUGUGUGUGAGCGACAUACAAGAGAACAAUGGAGAAAUAUGAGACCCUGGGAGACAGAGUUUGUGUUUGUGUGUGAGAAAGAGAUAUUGAAGAGGAAGAGUCGUAGGUUCUCAUAUCUAAGGAGCGAAAGACAUCUCUGUAUGAGGAGUGUGCGAGUGGCACACAUGGGAAUAGUAGAGAGAAAUGAGACCCCAGGAGACAAAGUUUUGUGUUUGUGUGAGAGAAAGAGAUUCCACAUGGAGAAUAAUUGUUAGAGACACAUAGCAGGGAGCGAGAUAUACUUAGAGAGAGAUAGAGUGAUGAAGGUCGAGGGAGAGAGUACUGUCAUUGUGUUACGAAGAUAAAAUAUCAUUGUCGACAUACAAGUAGCACGAGAGAUACCUGAGAGACGAUGACUGCGUAUAGGUCCAGAGAGAUAGUCCUAUAUAAGCAUGAGUGAUAGCUAUAUGAGACGAAUAUCUGGAUUAAAGGGGAUUCAAAUAUUUAAACUGGAGAUCACGACAUCGAUAAUAUCAUAACGCAAAUUGGUGUAUCAAACAUGCAUAUUCAUUCGAAUUUGGGCACACGUGUAAUGUUAUAUAGUUUAUCAAUAUUGGUGAUCCAUAGAUUCUUCAAUUACAAACAAUGCAUGGUUUAUAUGAAAUUAAUGUUAAACGGGAUUACACUAUAUGUUGCGUGUGUGAAACACAUUAUACAUGUUUGAGAAGUAAAAAUAAACCGCAUGAAACACACAUUAAUUGGAGACAGUUAGCGAGGAAUGCAUACAUUGGAUUUCAACAUAAAGUGGUUUCAAAUAUUUGAAAAUCCAAAUUGAUAGAUACAACCUUAUGAAUCUGAGAUCAUGCCAUUUGUAAAUCAUAUUUAUGUAUAAAUGGUGUUGUGCUUUUGAAAGUAUAUAUAUAUAAAAUGAUGUAUAUAGAAUGUAAUUCCAAUUGAAAAUGGAUCCCGCCCGAAAAAAAUAGAAUACAAACGGGGAUUCGAAUUGAGUUGGCACGGUAAACAUGCACUCUACAAAAUUUGAACGAAGUGGGGAAAGUCGCAGUAACCGCCCGAAACCAAAAUCUGCGAGAUGGAAAUCACUACUGCCUAUCCCUGCCAUGCAAAGCCUAUAUGCUGGAUUUCUAUAGGUUUCGAUAGGGGUAGGUUUGUAAUUUCACCCAAACGUGACAUAACCGCCUCUCACCCGGAUUCAUACAUGGUGGGCGCCAAAACACAGUGUUUCCUCGGCCGAAAUCGACUCCCUCCCUGAUUCAUAUUCAUACACGGUGGGCGCCAAAAACAAACUCUCGUCGGCAAAUAUUUGGUGUAUGCGAGAUUACCGUCCUAUCCCCAACCGACUAGUGUUGCUAUGAUGUAGUAUAAAUUUGAAACGGGGGCUAAGUUUGUAAAUUUCCUCGCAUUUGAGACAAGCGUGCCCUGAAUACAUGGUUCCCCCAUUCGUACUCCGUGGGCGCCAAAACACCCUCUCCACCCCACCCUCCUCCCUCCGCCGCCGUCCGCCACCCCAUCCACCGCCGUCCUCCUCCACCAUGCCGGAGCUGAUACCCUAACGCCGCCAUCCAUUAUGAGAGAUCGACCUCUCUCAUCCACGGCUUUGGACCGGGAUCCUUGCAUCCGUCCUCUCGCUUCAUCCCCGCCGUCAUCCACCUUGCCGGCGCCGCUCCUACGACCGUCCCGUCCACCGCGCCCCGCCGCCACCGUCUACCCUCCUAGAUCUGCUUCCACGCCGCCGACAGCCAUCGCUACCGCAGCACCGUCAAAUUCUCAGCAGAUGCGUACACGGCGCCGCACCAGAGGCGGUACUCUUUCGUAUCUGCUCAACUUAUUUAUCGCAGCAAGAAAAUAGAUCGCCACUGCUUUACUCUGAUUUCUUGUCUUGGUUGCGAAGUUGCCUUUGUCUGGUUUGCACCUUCAGAUCCGCCAUGGCACGCUCAACACCAUACUCGCAAUGCUCAUGGUUUCCCCCUUUUAUAUUCCACACUAGUUAAAUCACAAUAGACUAAAUUUCAAAAUUGGGUCAGUUGAUUUUUCAGAGCUCGCCGGAGUUCGCCGGUGCGAUCGAAGGGGCUCGGGUGGGGACGGUGGUUUUGGGGGUGGUGGUGGGGCCUCGUCGAACGAAGAAAACUCGACGUGGGUGGGGGCGGGGGUAGGGGGUGGCGGACGAACACAGGCGGUGGGGCCGGUGGUUCGGCCGGUGGCCCGUGCGGUGUUCUGUAUGGGAAGCACAGUAUGUUCCUUGUCAGGAAGGGGGCAGGGACAUCUGUAGUCAACAGCUGAUAGAGCUGGCCUGUACGUGAUCGAUAGGCUUUCAAUUACUAGCGGCAUUACAACACCGUAAUUUCCAGCCAGUUCCACUUUCCCGAUUUAUAUAUCCUGGUUAUGGUGUACCCUUGUUAUGUACACUAUGAUCUGCCUAGUUGUUGUGUGCUCUUGUUAUCAUUGUUUGGCAAUAAACUCUCUAUACAGUAUAUUAUGAACCUAUCAUCUGCCAGCUAUCCUUACUUCUGGAGCCUAUUUUUUGUGUACUUGUGCCAGAUUAUAUAAAUGCACGCACCAUAUUACAGCACACAUGAGCUCUCUCAUCAGAAUCCAGUGAUAGCACACAAGUGUUUACAGGGGCGCCCCUAUAUUAGAAUAUCAUCUGCAUUACAAAGAUAAUCUCACAACUAUUUAUAUUUUCAUGGUUCUCACAUAUCAUACGCAAUUACAAUGAAUAUCAGAAUCCGCGCAUCAGAAGAAUAUUGUGGAACACUGCAAUGACUUACAAAAUUGGCACCAAGGCAUUGAGUGCCAUUCUGGAAGCAAUGAAACUUGUACGCUCCCCACCUGUUGAUUCUUGUUCAGAAUAUCAUCCUAAUGACUAUUCUAACCUCAAGGAGUCAAAGGCAGAUGGCUUGUCCUGUUCACCCAUCAAGGUGCCUGUUCUAAUUUGGCAAGGUUUUAUUUAUUGCGCGUAUCUUGCAUAUGUUGUCUUGCAUUUAUUCUACUUUGUUGCACCGCCAUCUGCUUAGUUUACUCAUCAUAUAUGUCGAGAUGCCAUACCCAUCCAUUAUCAAUACAUACUCCAUCUGUCAUCGUACCAUGUUUUUCCACUCAAAUGCUUACAUUAGUGUAGAAUACAUCCAAUGCCAAUGUUUUGAUCAAUUGUUCGCUCCAAAUCAUCUGAUUUGUAUGAAUGGUUACAUUAGUGUAGAAUAUAUCCAAUGCCAAUGUUUUUUUAGCUCUGCAUUGUUCUUGUAAGUACAUGUUGUCCUUUAUCAGUGUACUUAUAAUGACAGGUAGGUGUUCAUGUACCAUCACUCUGCAGCUUAUUUUCCUUUGCCCUCCAUUUUCUACACAUCAGAUCUAUAUUUACUCUUACCAUAAGGUUGGUACUGAAGAAGUUUAGCUGUGCAUUGCUCUUGGCUGUACCUUUUGCCUGUAUCGCUGCGCUUACAUUUAUAGCUACUUGGUUAUGUAGCAUCACUCUUCAUCUUAUCUUAAAUAUUCUCCAUUUUUUCGUAUAUUAUCACAUCUAUAUUUACUUUUAACAAAAUGUAGAAUAAAGGCAAUGCUUUUGAAGAAGAUUAUGUGGUAAACUUCUUGAAUUCCCCCCCCCCCCAUCAGCAUGGACAAGGCCUUUAUAGAGCCUGUCUUCACCAAUAAUGUAAGUUUGUCCAUCUCAAGCCUUCAAACUUUGUUGUAUAUAUUUGGUUAGGCAUGACUGCAACAGCUGUUUAUUUUUGGUGUUUGCAUCAAAUUGCUUGUUUAAAGUUUAUUAUAUGUAGUUCAUAAACAAAAGUUUGUCCUUUCUCAAUUUAAGUUUUCAGUUGUACAACCAAGUUCCUUCUUCAUACCAUGUAAAUUAAACUAUACAGAGCAAGUGAUCUUUUUUUGCACUGCAUGUAUGCUUCUGUUCUUCAUCUGUAAUCCAUUGGUGUGGUGAACCUACCCACUAAAGCACAAUGUCAUAUUCUGCAAUGUCUUAACUAUGAACAAUGUCAUAUCAUUCUAUUAUUAUUUAAACCGUCUCUUUAUUUGCCAAUCUAAAAUGGUAUAAAUUGACAGCACACUAACCAUUGAUACUUAUGAGUUCUUGAUCUGUAAUCCAGUGGUGUCGUGAAGCUGCCAACUCCUUCACAAUGUCAUUUCCUACCAUGUCUUGACCUGAACAAUACCAUAUUGUGUUAAUGCAAAUUUAAACUGUGUCACUUUAUUCGUUAGUAAGAAAUGUGAUGAAUUGUCAGCACUGAUACUUUUAUGUGCAAAACCUGUCAUCUGUCUGUAGCGACCAGACCUCAAACAGUCUGAUCUCUGUGCUCAGGUGUCAUCCCUGGAUCAGUAAUGCUGACACCACACAAUACUUGAAGGAUUUAUAACAGAGUAGCAAUCACACACUUAUUACAUCGAAUGUCUCAAAGAGAACUUAUUACAAAAAAUAUGGCUUAAGGCCAUCUAAUAACGAUAACAGCGGAAGGCUUGGAAGAUAAGCGAGUCCAUCAACUCCAACGGCAUCACUAAGUAUAGAACCACGACCGAAAAGGCACCUUACUCGUCGUCUGAAAAGUCUGCAACAUGAAACGUUGCAGCCCGAAAACAGGUCAACACAUGGAAUAUGCUGGCAAUGUAACACAUAGAGAGUAAUGAAUGGUUAAGCCUAUACUACAUGCAUAUAUGGCUGGUGGAAAGCUCUAUGGUUACAGUUUUGCAUAAAGCCAAUUUUUCCCUACUGCAAAGGAAUAAAUUUAUUUAACUAUCAUGGUGGUUGUUAAACAUUGAGAAUGGUUGACAACAUCCUCAAUCCCAUUAAAGUAAUCAUCAUUAAAAACCCAACAAUAUUAAUUUAGAGUAACAUGAUGAGAUUCACAUGAUAUCCAAGUACUAGAUACUCAAAACGUCCAUAACCGGGGACACGGCUAACCAUGAUUAGUUUGUACACUCUGCAGAGGUUUGCGCACUUUUCCCCACAAGACUCGAUCGCCUCUGUUGGAUUUCUCGCACUACAUGGUGUUUGAGAAACGGAUGACCGAGACAUAGUCUUUCAGAAGCGCUAGCACCUUACGAUGGAUAGACCAGUACACCCACUUUCCCCUACAUCCGCUAGUCUACCCUGUAAGAGUUCGCACGACUUAAUCAACUAUGCCAGAGCCCAUAAUGGCUUGUGGCUGCACACGGAAGUUUCUAGUAUGAAAAAUCUCAUGAUCCCUUUGGGCCUAGGUGGCGGUCCAUAAAAAACAGGCAAUCCUGGGGAAAACCCAGGCACCUCAUCCACCCAGAUGUGUGUAUAAGUUUCCACCUUAGAUAAACCAUUAAUCAACAAUCUCACAUCUGUCAUGGAUAUCACUCACCCAAUCCACGUCUACUAGCAUAGCAUGGCAUAAUAAGCAAACGUAGAAGUAACUCCCAAGGGUUUGAUAAUAAAACAGGUAAUACGUACUACCUCAACUACUUCCCAUCCCACAAUUUAAUUAGAUCCUAAUCAUGCAAUGUUUGAGGAUUGAUCUAAUGCAAUAAAACUGGGUAGUAAGGAGGUAUGAUCAAGUGUUACUUGCCUUGCUGAUGAUCCGUGAAACCUAGAGAUUCGAAGUAACAGGCGGCGCACUCCGGGUAUUCUAUCGCAGACAAACAAACAAGUAUACAAUAAGUACUCAUACUAAUGCACAGGUAAAACUCAAAUAAGAGAUCUAACCAGAAAGUUCAACUUAAGAACUCUGGUUUGCAAAAAGAAUCAAAUCAAACGAAGCUACGAAAGUCAAACGGAGAAAGAAAACAACUCCGUUCUACUAAUCUAGAUCUAAGUCAAAUUUUACAGAAGCAAAAACUUGUUUAAGUUGAUUAAACGGAUAGAGGGUUUCGAGGCGAAACUCCAGGCGCUUGAAUCGCCUGAUUCCGAUAAACGAGCGAAAAGUUAUACUAAAACGAAAAUCGGAUCAGAAAUCACGAUCUGAAAAUAAUCACGGAAAAUCCGAGAAAAAGAAAAACGACGAACAGAUUAACGAACGAACGUUCGUUAUCUGGAUCUAAACGACGAACACGUUCGUUAAAACGAACGAACGAGCGAACGCUCGCUAAUUAACCUAAACCGAAAAAAACCGAUCUAAAUAAAAAAACAAACGAAAAAAAACCAAUGAAAAACCAAACGGUUUUUCGAGAAAACCAGCGGCGCGGAUUUCGAGGCACCUCGGGCGGCGGGGCAGCAUCUCUGGCNNNNNNNNNNNNNNNNNNNNNNNNNNNNNNNNNNNNNNNNNNNNNNNNNNNNNNNNNNNNNNNNNNNNNNNNNNNNNNNNNNNNNNNNNNNNNNNNNNNNNNNNNNNNNNNNNNNNNNNNNNNNNNNNNNNNNNNNNNNNNNNNNNNNNNNNNNNNNNNNNNNNNNNNNNNNNNNNNNNNNNNNNNNNNNNNNNNNNNNNNNNNNNNNNNNNNNNNNNNNNNNNNNNNNNNNNNNNNNNNNNNNNNNNNNNNNNNNNNNNNNNNNNNNNNNNNNNNNNNNNNNNNNNNNNNNNNNNNNNNNNNNNNNNNNNNNNNNNNNNNNNNNNNNNNNNNNNNNNNNNNNNNNNNNNNNNNNNNNNNNNNNNNNNNNNNNNNNNNNNNNNNNNNNNNNNNNNNNNNNNNNNNNNNNNNNNNNNNCGAGGGCGGGCGGCCAGGGUUUGGCCCGGGGCUGGGCUGCGGCUUAUAAAGGCUAGACGGGCCAGAGUCCCAGGCGGACACGGCCCGUAGGUCGGUUGCGCGUUUUUUUAAUAAUAACGCGCGGAAAAAAAUAAAAAGAAAUACUAAACAGACUCCAAAAAUCCCGAAAUAAAUUUUACCCGACUUCUAAAAUCAAGCCGGACAAAGUGAACAGUUAUUCUGGGCCUAAAUACAAUUUUGAAAACGCAUAUUUUUCCUAAAUUCAAAUAGAAUAGCGAAAAACUCCGAAAUAAAAUCUUAUUUGAUUUUAUUUUUAAAUCCUCAAUAUUUCUUUAUUUUGGGAAAGUCAUUUUAUUCCCUCUCUCAUACUUUUGUAAUAGAAAUAAUUGAUGAUAAAAUAAAUAAAAUCAAAUGACCCUAUUCUCAAAAUUUGAGAGAACUCAAAUUUGAAAAUAACGAAAUCCCCAACUCUCUCCGUGGGUCCUUGAGUUGCGUAGAAUUUCGAGGAUCAAAACCAAAAGCAAAUAAAAUAUGAUAUGCAAUGAUGAUCUAAUGUAUAACAUUCCAAAUUGAAAAUUUGGGAUGUUACAAACCUACCCCCCUUAAGAUGAAUCUCGCCCUCGAGAUUCGGGUUGGCUAGAAAAUAGGUGAGGGUGGUCCUUGAGCAAAACUUCCUCUCGUUCCCAGGUGGCUUCGUCCUCCGUGUGGUGGCUCCACUGAACCUUACAGAACUUGAUAACCUUGCUGCGAGUGACUCGGAUGGCAAACUCGAGAAUCCUAACUGGUUUCUCCUCAUAGGUCAAAUUGUUAUCCAACUGAAUUGCUUCGAAUGGCACUGUGUCUCUCAAAGGUAUGUCAGCCAUUUCUGCGUGGCACUUCUUCAACUGAGAAACGUGGAACACAUCAUGAACUCCUGACAAUCCUUCGGGUAAUUCCGACUUGUAUGCCACUUCUCCCAUACGCUCCAAAACUCGGUAUGGUCCUACAAAUCGUGGCGCUAACUUCCCCUUAACUCCAAAACGCUUAAUUCCUCGUAGUGGAGAUACUCGAAGAUAAACUCUAUCUCCGACUUUGUAAACUGUCUCCUUACGUUUAGAAUCUGCAUAGCUCUUAUGCCUGGACUGGGCUACCUUGAGCCUAUCGCGAAUCAACUUCACCUUCUGUUCAGACUCUUUAAUCAAAUCAGGUCCAAACAACUGGCGGUCUCCAACUUCGUCCCAUGACAACAGUGUCCUACACCUCCUUCCGUACAAGGCUUCGAAAGGGGCCAUUUUCAAACUGGCUUGGUAACUGUUGUUGUAAGAGAACUCUGCAUAUGGCAAAUUAUCAUCCCAACUAGAUUCGUAAUCUAGCGCACAAGCUCUCAGCAUAUCCUCCAAAAUCUGAUUGACUCUCUCGGUCUGUCCAUCUGUCUGUGGAUGAAAAGCGGUACUGAACUCUAGCCUGGUACCCAAAAUUUCAUGCAACUGAUUCCAGAACUUUGAGGUAAACUGGGUUCCUCUAUCUGAUACGAUACUCCUCGGAACUCCAUGCAGACAUACUAUCCUGGUCAUGUAUAUCUUUGCCAACUUAGCACUGGUGUAAGUGGUCUUUACCAGGAUGAAAUGAGCUACCUUCGUCAACCGAUCAACUACAACCCAAAUCGAGUCAUAGCCGGAACGAGUCCUUGGUAAUCCCGUGAUAAAAUCCAUGCCUAGCUUAUCCCACUUCCAUUCGGGUAUCUGCAAUGGCUGUAGCAGUCCUGCUGGCUUCUGAUGCUCUGAUUUUACUCUCUGACAUACAUCACAAACUGCUACAUACUCCGCAAUAUCUUUCUUCAUUCCGGUCCACCAGAAAGUAUCCUUCAAAUCCAAAUACAUCUUGGUAUUUCCGGGGUGAAUCGAAUACGGUGAAUCAUGCGCCUCUUGCAGAAUCAACUUCCUGAUCUCCGGGUCAUUGGGCACAUAAACACGGUCUUUAAACCAUCGGGUAUCGUGCUCAUCCUCACGAAAACCUUUAGCCUUUCCUUCGCUCAUUUUCUCCUUUAUAGAUGCAAUCUCCUUGUCAGUCUUCUGAGCUUCUCUGAUUCUAUCCAUCAAAGUCGACUAAAUCUCCAAUGCUGCUACAUAGCCUCUCGGAACUAUUUCCAUACAUAGCUCAUGAAGAUCCUUGGCUAACUCCUUUGGCAAUCCUCCCGUCAUUAGUGUAUUGACAUGCCUCUUACGGCUCAACGCGUCAGCUACUACAUUGGCCUUUCCGGGAUGAUAAUGCAAUCUCAUAUCAUAAUCCUUGAUGAGCUCCAACCAUCUCCUUUGUCUGAGGUUUAACUCCUUCUGCGUGAAAAUGUACUUCAAACUCUUGUGAUCCGUGUACACCUCAUAGUGGUUUCCAAUGAGGAAAUGUCUCCAUGUCAAUGCAUGUACUACGGCUGCUAACUCCAAAUCAUGCGUGGCAUAAUUUAAUUUGUGAGGUUUCAGUUGUCGCGAAGCGUACGAAACAACUAUUCCCUCCUGCAUAAGCACUGCUCCAAGUCCUCGACGUGAAGCGUCGCAAUACACCUCAUAAUCCUUGGUCUGAUCUGGCAGAAUCAACAUUGGUGAGGUAACCAAACGUUUCUUCAACUCCUAGAAACUUGCCUCACACUCCUCAGUCCAUAUGAACUUAGUAUCCUUCUUCAGCAACUCCGUCAUAGGCUUUGCAAUCUUUGAGAAGUUCUCAAUAAAUCUCCGGUAGUAUCCUGCGAGUCCAAGGAAACUCCGGAUCUCUCCAACUGUUGUUGGUGCUUCCCAAUUGGUCACAGUGAUAACCUUUGUGGGGUCAACCGCUAUUCCUUCUCCGGAUAUAACGUGUCCGAGGAAACCUACUUCCUUCAACCAAAACUCACAUUUGCUGAACUUGGCAUAUAACUGAUGUUCUCUGAGCUUCUCAAGUACUAAUCACAAAUGUUCCUUAUGCUCCUCUUCAUUCUUCGAGUAAACCAGAAUAUCAUCAAUGAACACCACGACGAACUUAUCCAAAAACUCCAUAAACACUUUGUUCAUCAUGUUCAUAAAAUAGGCAGGUGCAUUAGUCAGACCAAAUGACAUAACGGUAUACUCAUACAGUCCAUAUCUUGUGGAGAAAGUUGUCUUAGGUAUGUCCUGCUCUCGAAUCUUCAAUUGAUGGUACCCUGAUCGUAAAUCGAUCUUGGAAAAUACUUCGGCUCCUUGCAACCGAUCAAACAGACCAUUGAUCAUUGGUAGUGGGUACUUGUUCUUGAUUGUUACUUCAUUCAAUCCACGGUAAUCAACAACCAUCCUUAGUGAUCCAUCCUUUUUCUCCACUAGCAGUACUGGUGAUCCCCAAGGUGACGAACUUGGGCGAAUGUAACCUUUAUCUAGUAACUCCUUAAUCUGCUUCUUAAUCUCCACCAAAUCCUUUGCGGGCAUCCUGUAUGGUCUCUUCGAUAUUGGCCCUGUGCCUGGCAAAAGCUCAAUCAAAAACGCAAUAUCUCUAUCUAGUGGCAUGCCUGGCAACUCUUCUGGAAAUACGUCAGGGAAAUCCUUUACCACUGGUACUUCCUCCUGCACAACUCAUGAUAAGGAAUUUACUUGUGUCCUGUUUAGCGCAUGCCGGGAUACAUACUUGAUCCUUCUUCCUUCUGGCGUUGUGAGCAAAAUUGUCUUACUAGCGCAACCAUUGUUUCCUCCAUACAUCGACAGCCAAUCCAUACCGAAAAUUACAUCCAAACCUUGGGAUUCUAGAACAAUUAAAUCCGUUGGGAAAACAUGCCUUCCUAUACUUAGUGGCACUUGAAAACAUCCUUGACUGGCCAUAUACUCCGCUCCUGGUGAGCUUACUAGCAUAGGUGUUUUAAGAACCUUAGUAGGCAGGUUAUACUUAUCCACAAACCCCCUUGAUAUGUAUGAAUGUGAUGCACCAGUAUCAAAAAGAACGAGUGCAGUAAACGACUUAACCAAAAACUUGCCUAUUACUGCAUCAGGCUGAGCUUCAACCUCCUCCACAUUAACGUGGUUCACUUGUCCCCUGCUGAAAGGGUUCGGCUUCUUCCCAGAGCUUCCAUUGCCAUUCUGGCCUUCAGCACAUUCAUUGGCAUAAUGUCUAGUCUUCUGACACUUAAAGCAGGUGAUUUGACUCAGGUCUCUCUUGGCUGGGGUUGAUGGGGUGGUACGGUUCUGGCCAUUGCUUCCUCCAUUCCCAUUACCAUUCUUGGGGCCAUUAUGGUUGUGCGAGCUACCUCCAUGGGUAUGCUGAAAAUGAACGCCCGGCUUAGGGGUAAGACGGGGUUUCUGCUGAGCUCCAGAAUUGUAUUUCCCCUGUCCAUACUUCCUCUUGAGGUUUUCAAUCUGCUGCUGCUUCCCUUCAAUCAUAAGAGCACGAUCUACCAACUCCUGGUAGUUGUUGAAGCUUGCUACCAUCAACUACAUACUCAGCUCGUCAUUCAGUCCUUCCAGAAACUUCUCUUGCUGAGCUGCAUCCGUAGCAACGUCAUCUGGGGCAUAACGUGCUAGCUUACUAAAGUCAUCCACAUACUGGCCAACUGUCCAUCCUCCUUGGCGCAAGUUACGAAACUUGUGCUUCUUCAUGGCCAUAGCUCCUGCUGAAACAUGGGCAGUACGGAAAGCUUGCUGAAACUGGUCCCAUGUGACAGUGUCUACAGGGUAAGUGGCUGUAAAAUUCUCCCACCAUGCUGCUGCGGGUCCUUCAAGCUGAUGUGCGGCAAACUUCACCUUUUCCCCAUCUAUACAUCCUGCAGUGGUCAACUCCCUCCCUGUCUUGCGGAGCCAAUCAUCUGCUACUAUCGGCUCAGUGCUACUAGAAAACACCGGCGGAUUCAGCCUAAAAAAACGGGUUAAGUGAUCAACUGGUGGUGGCGGCGGAGGGUUGUUGUUGUUGUUGUUGUUGUUGUUGUUGUUGUUGUUCUGGUUCUGGACUAACAACUGCAUCAAAGCAUUCUGCUGCUAGAUCAACUGAGUGAGCUCCGGUGGGAAAGCAAAUCCGUUGUCACAUCUCGGAGGCAUCUGAGGAUUUAGAAAAGAUGAGAAUUAAGAAUAGAAUGAGGCCUAAAGAGAAAACACUACCCAAAUGCACAUGAGGCAAAUGCACACAAAAUCACUCCAUUCAAUCAAACAAGGGCAUACAAUCGGUCUAGAACUAUCGCAAAUAGUGCGUGGACUAUAUUAUGUACAUGGUGGAACACUACUACUGUUAUGGUAGUCUACUAGAAAAACUGCUCUGAUGAAGACUCCAUGAUAUCUGCUCCAGCUUCGUCUUCGAAAUCAUCAUCACUAGGAUCGGAAUCGGUGUCAUCGAUGAUGAUGUAGUUAUCUGGACAGGUGCAAUCUUCAUCUUCUCCUCCGGGUGCUGAGUUCCCCAUGAGUUCUUCAAUCUUCUCCUUAAGGUCGCCGUUUUGUCUCACUAGAGCUACAAUCUCAUCCAUGUAGUCUUUGCGAGUAGCCUUAAGUUCUCCUUCUAGCUCAAUAAUCUUGGCUUUAGCUUUCUUCAACUCCAUCAUGUCUGCGCACAUCUGGUUCUCUUGGCGUCGAAUGUGCUGGUUUAACUCCUGGAUGAAAGCUGCAAUGGAUUUAUCCUUCUUGGUGCUAACUAUCUCCCAUUGUUCAUCUCGGCGUCCGCAAAUCUGGUAAAUAGUAUCCUUGAGGUAUUCUUGGUAGACUUCUCCAAUGUGUCCCAUGGUUAUGUGAGCGGCCAUGCUCUUUCCCAGACUCCAGGUUGGUGCAUUAAAAACACACUCUAUGGGCUCUGUGACUGGCGCGAACGUCCUUCCUGGAACUUGAGCUUCAAUCUUCCAACGCUCCUCUUCGGGUAAAGUGGCGUUGUAGAUCCCGGUGAAGCUUGGUAUUCCAAUGUUCAGGUACUUGGUGACUUCCUUCAGGUGUCGUCUAAAAGGUGUAUCUUCAUCCGGUUGCGUGAACUUGAUCUUCGCUUCCGUCAUCCUAAAAGAGUAGAAAAGAUGAGGAGUCAGAAAUGAGAAGAGAGUAGUGAUCUAGGGCUUUUGCUUAGUGGUCGUGUCCUACAGUCAGCGUGUGUUCUGAUACCAUCUUUAUAGCGACCAGACCUCAAACAGUCUGAUCUCUAUGCUCAGGUGUCAUCCCUGGAUCAGUAAUACUGACACCACACAUUACUUGAAGGAUUUAUAACAGAGUAGCAAUCACACACUUAUUACAUCGAAUAUCUCAAAGAGAACUUAUUACAAUAAAUACGGCUUAAGGCCAUCUAAUAACGAUAACAGCGGAAGGCUUGGAAGAUAAGCGAGUCCAUCAACUCCAACAGCAUCACUGAGUAUAGAACCACGACCUAAAAGGCACCUAACUCAUUGUCUAAAAAGUCUGCGACAUGAAACAUUGCAGCCCGAAAACGGGUCAGCACAUGGAAUAUGCUGGCAAUGUAACACAUAGAGAGUAAUGAAUGUUAAGCCUAUACUACAUGCAUAUAUGGCUGGUGGAAAGCUUUAUGGUUACAGUUUUGCGUAAAGCCAAUUUUUCCCUACUGCAAAGGAAUAAAUUUAUUUAACUAUCAUGGUGGUUGUUAAACAUUGAGAAUGGUUAAUGGCAUCCUCAAUCCCAUUAAAGUAAUCAUCAUUAAAAACCCAACAAUAUUAAUUUAGAGUAACAUGAUGAGAUUCACAUGAUAUCCAAGUACUAGAUACUCAAAACGUCCAUAACCGGGGACACGGCUAACCAUGAUUAGUUUGUACACUCUACAGAGGUUUGUGCACUUUUCCCCACAAGACUCGAUCGCCUCCGUUGGAUUUCUCGCACUACAUGGUGUUUGAGAAACGGAUGACCGAGACAUAGUCUUUCAGAAGCGCUAGCACCUUACGAUGGAUAGACCGGUACACCUACUUUCCCCUACAUCUGCUAGUCUACCCUAUAAGAGUUCGCACGACUUAAUCAACUAUGCCAGAGCCCAUAAUGGCUUGUGGCUGCACACGGAAGUUUCUAGUAUGAAAAAUCUCAUGAUCCCUUUGGGCCUGGGUGGCGGUCCAUAAAAAAACAGGCAAUCCUGGGGAAAACCCAGGUACCUCAAUCCACCCAGAUGUGUGUUUAAGUUGCCACCUUAGAUAAACAAUUAAUCAACAAUCUCACAUCUGUCAUGGAUAUCACUCACCCAAUCCACGUCUACUAGCAUAGCAUGGCAUAAUAAGCAAACGUAGACGUAACUCCCAAGGGUUUGAUAAUAAAACAGGUAAUAGGUACUACCUCAACUACUUCUCAUCCCACAAUUUAAUUAGAUCCUAAUCAUGCAAUGUUUGAGGAUUGAUCUAAUGCAAUAAAACUGGGUAGUAAGGAGGUAUGAUUAAGUGUUACUUGCCUUGCUGAUGAUCCGCGAAACCUAGAGAUUCGAAGUAAUAGGCGGCGCACUCCGGGUAUUCUAUCGCAGACAAACAAACAAGCAUACAAUAAGUACUCAUACUAAUGCACAGGUAAAACUCAAAUAAGAGAUCUAACCAGAAAGUUCAACUUAAGAACUCCGGUUUGCAAAAAGAAUCAAAUCAAACGAAGCAACGAAAGUCAAACGGCGAAAGAAAACAACUUCAUUCUACUAAUCUGGAUCUAAGUCAAAUUUUACAGAAGCAAAAACUUGUUUAAGUUGAUUAAAUGGAUAGAGGGUUUCGAGAUGAAACUCCAGGCGCUUGAAUCGCCUGAUUCCGAUAAACAAGCGAAAAGUUAUACUAAAACGAAAAUCGGAUCAGAAAUCGCGAUCAGAAUAUAAUCGCGGAAAAUCCGAGAAAAAGAAAAACGACGAACAAAUUAACGAACGAAUGUUCAUUAUCUGGAUCUAAACGACGAACACGUUCAUUAAAACGAACGAACGAGCGAAUGCUCGCUAAUUAACCUAAACCGAAAAAACCCGAUCUAAAUAAAAAAACAAACGAAAAAAAAAACCGACGAAAAACCGAACGGUUUUUUGAGAAAACCGGUGGCGCGGAUUUCGAGGCACCUCGGGCGGCGGGGCGGCGGCUACUGCGACGGNNNNNNNNNNNNNNNNNNNNNNNNNNNNNNNNNNNNNNNNNNNNNNNNNNNNNNNNNNNNNNNNNNNNNNNNNNNNNNNNNNNNNNNNNNNNNNNNNNNNNNNNNNNNNNNNNNNNNNNNNNNNNNNNNNNNNNNNNNNNNNNNNNNNNNNNNNNNNNNNNNNNNNNNNNNNNNNNNNNNNNNNNNNNNNNNNNNNNNNNNNNNNNNNNNNNNNNNNNNNNNNNNNNNNNNNNNNNNNNNNNNNNNNNNNNNNNNNNNNNNNNNNNNNNNNNNNNNNNNNNNNNNNNNNNNNNNNNNNNNNNNNNNNNNNNNNNNNNNNNNNNNNNNNNNNNNNNNNNNNNNNNNNNNNNNNNNNNNNNNNNNNNNNNNNNNNNNNNNNNNNNNNNNNNNNNNNNNCUGGGCUGCGGCUUAUAAAGGCUAGACGGGCUAGAGUCCCAGGCGGACAUGGCCCGUAGGUCGGUUGCGCGUUUUUUUAAUAAUAACGCGCGGAAAAAAAUAAAAAGAAAUACUAAACGGGCUCCAAAAAUCCCAAAAUAAAUUUUACCCGAUUUCUAAAAUCAAUCCGGACAAAGUGAACAUUUAUUUGGGGCCUAAAUACAAUUUUGAAAAACGCAUAUUUUUCCUAAAUUCAAAUAGAAUAGCGAAAAACUCCGAAAUAAAAUCUUAUUUGAUUUUAUUUUUAAAUCCUCAAUAUUUCUUUAUUUUGGGAAAGUCAUGUUAUUCCCUCUCUCAUAAUUUUGUAAUAGAAAUAAUUGAUGAUAAAAUAAAUAAAAUCAAAUGACCCUCUAUGGUAUGCAAUGAUGAUCUAAUGUAUAUGCAAUGAUGUAUAACAUUCCAAAUUGAAAAUUUGGGAUGUUACAAACCUACCCCCCUUAAGAUGAAUCUCGCCCUCGAGAUUCGGGUUGGCUAGAAAAUAGGUGAGGGUGGUCCUGUCUUCGAUGCUGCAGUUAUUUUACUGUAUAUAUAUCCUGUCUUCGCAGUAAAUCGGCCAAACCGUAAAAUUACGGUACAUAAUCGGGCCGUCAUGCAAUCACGAUGUAGGUUGAGCCUGAAACGUGUCGAUCAGCUCAGCUCACGGGCCGACAGCAGCCCGAAAUGAACCCCGGCCCAUGAUUGUGCGAAUCAAGUCACGAGCUUUUAACAGGCCAAAAUUGUCUCGGUCCUUGUUUGGCCCAAUCAGAUAUCGGCUACGAGCAGGCCGGAUGCAAACCGGGCCGUAGUUAGGCCCAACUAUAUGACGGGCUUUUAACAGGCCGAAAUUAAUAUAGGGCCGAAAUGUUAAACGGGCCCUUAACAGGCUGUCGGUGUCAAAACCGGCGGAUCUCGGGUAGGGGGUCCCGAACUGUGCGUCUAGGCUGGAUGGUAACAGGAGGCAAGAGACACGAAGUUUUACGCAAGUUCGGGCCCUCUUGAUGGAGGUAAAACCCUACGUCCUGCUUGAUUAAUAUUGAUGAUAUGGGUAGUACAAUAGUAGAUCUACCACGAGAUCAGAGAGGCUAAACCCUAGAAGCUAGCCUAUGGUAUGAUUGUUGUUGUGUUGUAUAUCUUCUAUCGACUAGCCUGGCCUCAGUUUAUAUAAUGCACCAGAGGCCUAGGAUAACAAGAGUCCUAGCCGAAUACGCCGGUGGGGAGGAGUCCUUGUCUUGAUCGCCAAGUCUUGUGGAAUCUUCCUUGUAUGCGGCAGCUGUCCGAACUGGCCCAUGAGUAUACGACCAUGGGGGUCCUCGGCCCAAUCUAACAGAUCAGGAGAUGGCGUGGUGAGUACCCCCUAGUCCAGGACACCGUCAUAGGCCAAAACUAAUAUCAAGCUGAAUUACUACAUGGGCCUUUAGCAAGUGGGCCCAAAAGCAUAGUGUCUAGUUGACGGGCCGAAUCUGAUAUGGGCCAUAAUUGAGCCCAAAGCCUCUUAAAGGGUCGGACCUGAUCUGGACCGUAAUUUGGCCCAGAACGUGGUAGGCCUUUAAUGGGCCGGAUCUCAUAUGGGCCACUAUUAGGCCCGGAGCAUGGCAGGCCAUUAAUGGACCGGAUCAAAUAUGGGCCGGCAUUUGUCCCAAAACAUGGCAGGCGGUUAAUGGGCCGGCCUACUAGGGUCCACAAAAUCUUGUGGGCCUAUAGCUAGGUCGGCCCAUUAAUGUCGGCGAAAUCUCAUGGGCCUUUAGCUGGGCCGGCCCAUUAUGACCGGCAAGAAUCUUGUGGGCUUUACCUCGGCCGGCCCAUUAUGGCACAAAAAAAAUCUUGUGGGCCUUUACCUGGGCCGGCCCAUUAUGGCCUGCAAAAUCUUGUGGGCCUUUAGCUGGGCCAGCCCAUUAUGGUCCACAAAAUCUCGUGGGCCUUUAGCUGGGCCGGCCCAGUAUGGUCCGCAAAAUCUUGUGGGCCUAUAGUUGUGCCGACCCAUUUAAACUUGAUGGGCCGGUCCACGUGUCAACAUGUCAUAGGCGCAUCUCGCUCAUUGGAUGAUUUGACACGUGUCUCCUCCAGCCAAUGAUGAUUUUACACGUGGAAAAUCCCCAUUGGUCGGGGCUGUUAACGGGUUAUCGGAUCCAAAACCCGACCCGAUAGCUUAACGGCGUUCCGUCACGGCGGAUGCCAUGUGUCGGUCACCCUUGACGAAAGCACUUUUGUGACGCGCGAUUUAUUGUCAUGGAAGUGGACACUUCCGUGAUGAUAAUUUUGGUAAUGUCAUGGAACACUUCGACGACAGCACAGGUAUGACCAUCUUGAUUUUGUCAUAAAUUUGUCAUGGAUGUACAUGCAUGAAAAAAAAAGUGACCUACUGUGACAAACACAUAUCAUCACAGAAGUGUAUUUUUUUGUAGUGGAACUUCGAUUGGAAAUUGUUCCUAGAGGUUUUGUUGCAAUAAUGGAAGUUCAGUCUACAUUGUUAGGAAAGAUUCGGGAAGCUCAGAAGGAUGACAAACAGAUUGCCGAGAUAAAAGAAAGAAUGAGCAAAGGAAAGGCCAAAGGUUUUCGUGAGGAUGAGCACGACACCUUAUGGUUUGAGGACCGUGUUUAUGUGCCCAAUAACACAGAGAUCAGGAAGUUAAUACUUCAGGAGGCUCAUGACUCACCAUACUCGAUACACCCCAGAAACACCGAGAUAUAUUUGGAUUUGAAGGAAUGUUUCUGGUGGACUGGUAUGAAGAAGGAUAUUGCUGAGUAUGUAGCCGUAUGUGAUGUAUGUUAGAGAGUGAAGGCACAACAUCAAAAGCCAGCAGAAUUGUUACAGCCUAUGCCGAUACCAGAAUGGAAGUGUGAUAAACUUGGCAUGGAUUUCAUCACUGGAUUGCCCAGGACCAAAUCAGGAUAUGAUUCUAUAUCUCUACUCCUAAUGGACGACUUGGUUGAAUAGUCCCCCCCACUUUCAACCGGUUUAUUUUCAGCCGGUUUUUUUUCAACCGGUUUUUCUUCGUCCCACCUCCCACCACCCCCCUCCCACCGGUUUUUCUCUUUCUCGUCUGGCCGACAAUACCCAAAGUAUUUAUGGUAAUCAAUCACAAAUAUGAUAAUUAUAGUAAUAAAUCAAUCCAUGUAUGGUAAGGCUAUAACUAAGGAAAUUUUGAAUAUGGUAAUUAUCACCAGAAUCAAAGCUUUCCAAAAAAGUUCUUCUUGCCAUACCCUAAUCGUGACCUCCUCAUCCUGAGGCAUUAUUUCCAUCUAUUUCUCAGCUGAAUCAGAACUUUCCAAAACUUUGUCUGACUAAAUCACAAUUUUCCUUCCUUCCCUAUCAUCUCAAUCGAAUCAUGAGCUAUAGGUAAGUCAUUUCGUUCUCCACCUCGCACGGGUUGUACUGAUUUUUAUCAUGGUUUGGCCCCCUACCGUACAAGCCGCUCGAUUCCUCCUCCCUUGCUCAAUUCCUCCACCCUAUCUUCUUCUUCAUGGUGAGCAACCCAGACAGCGAUGCGUGCCCGUUAUGCAUCAGCGAGGAGGACCAGGAAACGUUGAUUGCCACCCCCGCGCUCGUCACGUGAACCCGUUCACCGUCAGGUCAUGCUGGUGUGUUACGGGUGUAGGUGCACCUUACCUUAGCCAUGGAGGUUUGUCGGUGGACAACGGAGGCCUCGCCAUGGACACCAGUAUCCCUCUCCUCUUCCUGCGCCCUACCUCUCCUUCCUCAGUCUCUACCUCUCUCUCUCUCUUUUUCUCUGUUCCAGGAGAUCUGCAGCCGACGCCACAGGCCCUGCCCGUUCGCUGCCGGUCACCUCGCCUCGCUGUUCGAUCUCACCGCUAGAUAUGCACGACUCCGCCGCCCUAUGCCGUCCUUGUCGGGCACCAUCAUGGCGGCGCGAACACUAUAUGCAGUGGCUACAAUCGGCGGUGGAUUCAACAGCGCGGUGGGCACUAGCGAGUAGCGACCCAGCGGGCAGUGGCUGUGCUGGCCGCUGUCUGCCGCCGAGGUGUAACGGCUCAGGCCCAGACUCCGAGUUCGUCAUGGCGCUCCGCGCGACUUCCCUUGCGCCGGCUGACUCAUGCAUGCAUCUACAAUCUAACUAGCUAAUUCCUCUCUUUGACUGCUAUUUUCUCUGGUUGUACUAUUCCACAGCUUAGGGAUCAUCUACACAAUCCAUCGGCUCAUGCAUGCACAAUCUAAUUAAUUUGUCUACUGACUGCAGUUUAUGAAUUGCUCCACAGAUCAUUUAUAGAGAUGAUUUCAGACUUAGAAGUGUUGAGGUCAUGAUGCUCUAAAUAGUUUUGAAGUUGUAUUCACGACAUCAUGAUGCUCUAAAUGAAAUGAAAAUUUGAUGGAUUCAAGAAGAAAAAGGUCAGGUAUGUUUAGUAUGCACUACAGUAGAAAUUUCACUUGUGGUCAUCUUGGGAUACUUGUACAUGCUUGGUGUUACAAUAAUUCUACUAAUUAAUUCCAUGAAAGUGCUGAAAUUUGCUCAGUAAACAAGAAACCCACUUGGUAACAUAUUUGGACGCCAUACAAGUGGAUCUGCAUUUUUUCAUCAAGGUGUUGUCUCAUCUUUUAAUUUGCAUCGUCGCUCUUGAAUAAUUAGUUUUCAUAGAGAUUUAUCUUUGAUCUGAACAUUUUGAACUUUCUUUUUGCAUAACCUUAAUAAAAGGAUUGACAACAAAUAAUCAGAGAAGACUAGCCAACGAGAUGAGGAGAGGAAAGAAGUGAAAAGAGACAAAAUACAGUAUGAUAUAUCAAUUUAGAAGUCAUAGCAAUGCACAUCUUUCUAAAUAUAUAUCUUUAUGUGAUUGGUCACAAGCUGUAGUUGGUAGUGGUAGUAGUAUAUAUUCACUAUAAUUGUUUGUACAAAAUCACAUUAAAAAAAUCACACAUAAAUCACAACAAUUGCGUGCAAAAACACAUAAUCUUACCAUAUUUCAUAGGGUGCUAUCAUUUUUCAUGUUUGUAGUUGUAUGCGAAUAUUAAAUGUAUUAUUAACAUGAUUAUUAAAUGUAUGAGAAUAUUAACAUGAUCAAUAUUGAACUCUUAAAGUUAACAUGAUUAAUAUUGAACUCUUACCAUAUUUUCAUAUGUCACUUGAUAUGUAUGAGAAUAUUAAAUGUAUUAUUAACAUGAUUAAUAUUGAACUCUUAAAGUUAAUGUGGCCCCGUUGCAACGCACGGGCGUUCUUCUAGUGGGUAGUAGUUGAUCGCUUGACCAAAGUGGCUCACUUUAUCCCAGUGAAAACAACCUAUACAAGUGCGAAGUUGGCCAAGAUAUACAUGACCAGGAUUGUAUGUCUGCAUGGAGUUCCGAGGACCAUAGUAUCAGAUAGAGGAACACAGUUUACCUCAAAGUUUUGGCAUCAACUACACCAGACUUUGGGAACGAGAUUGGAGUUCAGUACAGCAUUUCACCCGUAGACGGAUGGAUAGACCGAGAGAGUCAACUAGAUUCUGGAGGACAUGUUGAGGGCUUGUGCGCUGGAUUAUGGAUCUAGUUGGGAUGACAAUUUGCCCUAGGCAGAGUUCUCAUACAACAAUAGCUACCAAGCCAGUUUGAAGAUGGCACCGUUCGAAUCCCUGUAUGGACGAAGGUGCAGAACACCGUUGAUGUGGGAUGAAGUUGGAGACUGACAGUUGUUUGGACCAGACUUGAUCAAGGAGUCUGAAGAGAAAGUUAAGUUGAUCCGAGAUAGACUAAAGGUAGCUCAGUCCAGGCAGAAGAGUUAUGCAGAUUCGAAACACAAGGAGGUAACCUAUGGAAUUGGAGAUAGAGCAUAUCUGCGAGUGUCACCCUUGCGAGGAGUGAAACGUUUUGGAGUCAAGGGAAAGUUAGCCCCGAGAUUUGUAGGACCGUAUCAUGUUUUAGAACAUAUGGGAGAAGUUGCCUACAAGUUGGAGUUACCUGAAGGACUGUCAGGAGUUCAUGAUGUGUUUCAUGUUUCACAGCUGAAGAAGUGUCAUGCUGAGAUGGCCGAUAUACUGUUAAGAGAUACAGUACCCUUGGAGGCGAUUCAGUUGGACAGUGAUCUGACCUAUGAGGAGAAGCCAGCCAUGAUUCUUGAAUUUGCCAGCCGAGUCACCCGCAACAAGGUUAUCAAGUUUUGCAAAGUUCAGUGGAGCCACCAUACCGAGGAUGAAGCCACCUGGAAAGGAGAGGAUGAUCUUCGCAAAGACCACCCGCACCUAUUUUCUAGCCAACCCGAAUCUCGAGGGCGAGAUUCAUCUUAAGGGGGGUAGGUUUGUAACAUCCCAAAUUUUCAAUUUGGAAUGUUAUACAUAGAUCAUUCAUACAUAUCAUAUUUUAUUGCAUUUCGUUUCGCGAUCCUCGAAAUCCUAAGCAACUCAACGACCCUCGGAGAGAGUUGGGGAUUUCAUUGUUUUCAUAUUUGAAUUUUAUCAAAUAUAGAAACGAGGAUUAUUUGUUUUAAUUAUUUUUCUCUCCAAAAAUAUUUCAUAUUAAAAUAUACGAGAGGAGAUAAUAUGACUUCUCCAAAAUAAUUGAAAUAUUGGAGGAAAAAUAUUAAAAUCAAAUAUUUGAUUUUAUUCGGAGUUUAUUGCUAUUUUAUUUGCAUUAGAAAAAUUGCAUGUUUUUCCAAAAUUGCAUUUUAGGGCCAAGAAAAUGUUCAUCUUGUUCUAAAUAUUUUAUUUAGAUGGUGAAAAAUUGUUUUGGUAUUUUUAAAUUUUUAUUUAUUUUUCUAGGAUUUAUUUAAGUUUCGGCGAAAUUAUUUAAAAAGAAAGGUUUCUCUUCGCCGACUGGGCCGAAGCCCAGCCAGUCGGCCCAGCCCAGCCGCGCCGUCCACCUCGUCACCGACGCGGAGACCGCCGCUGUCGCGCGCUGAGUCCGACCGGGACUCCUCUCCCGCGACGCCUUGCCCCCUCCCCCCAAGCUAGCCCCCUCCUUUAUAUACGCCGCCCCGGACCCCCCUCACCUCAAGCCGAACCCUGCCGCCCGCCGAACCCCGCCCGCGCCGCCGCCUAGCGCCACGCCGCCGCUNNNNNNNNNNNNNNNNNNNNNNNNNNNNNNNNNNNNNNNNNNNNNNNNNNNNNNNNNNNNNNNNNNNNNNNNNNNNNNNNNNNNNNNNNNNNNNNNNNNNNNNNNNNNNNNNNNNNNNNNNNNNNNNNNNNNNNNNNNNNNNNNNNNNNNNNNNNNNNNNNNNNNNNNNNNNNNNNNNNNNNNNNNNNNNNNNNNNNNNNNNNNNNNNNNNNNNNNNNNNNNNNNNNNNNNNNNNNNNNNNNNNNNNNNNNNNNNNNNNNNNNNNNNNNNNNNNNNNNNNNNNNNNNNNNNNNNNNNNNNNNNNNNNNNNNNNNNNNNNNNNNNNNNNNNNNNNNNNNGCAGCCGGACCUUGCCGGAGCCGCCCCGCCUCGCCGGACCUCGCCGGAGGUAUAAGCCGCCGUUGCCGCCGUUCGAUUUUAUUUUUAAACCGAUCCGGUUUUAAAAAAAACCUAGGUUCGUUUUUUAGGAUAGAUCGUUUUUUUUUCUGGUUUAGUUUAUUUAGCGGACGUUCGUCCGUACGUUCGUUUUAAUGAACAGUGUUCACCCGUUAGCCGCAGACAGCAAACGUUCGUUCGUUAGCCUGUUCGUCAGUUUUUAUUUUUCUCGGAUUUUUCGCGAUUAUUUUCGAUCGCGAUUUUUGAUCCGAUUUUUGUUUUAGUUUAUCUUUUUGCUCGUUUAUCGGAAUCAGGCGAUUCAAGUGCCUAGAUCUUUGUCUCGAAACCCUCUUUCCGUUUAGUCAACUUGAACAAGAUUUUGGUACUGUAAAAUUUGACUUUAGUUCAGAUUAGUAAACAUAUCUUGUUUCUUUCGUAGUUUGAGUUUCUUUGCUCCGUUUGAUUUGAUUCUUUUCGCAAACCGGAGUUCUUAAGUUGAACUUUCUAGUCAAUUCUUCUUAUUUGAGUUUUUCCCGUGCAUCUUUGCUUGAAUGCUUAUGUAUGCUAUUGUUUGUUUGUGAUAGAAUUCCCGGAGUGCAAAGCGUGCUACUACGAGUCCCUAGGUUUUGCGGGUCGUCAGCAAGGCAAGUAACACAUUGAUCAUACUCCUUUCAUACCCAGUUUUUAUGCAUUAGUUCCAAUCCUCAAACAUUGCAUGAUUAGUGUGAGAUUAACUUGUGGGUAUUGGGAAGUAGUUGAUGAGGUAGAACCUAUUGCCAUGUUAUAUUCAAACACUUGGGAGUUACUUCUACGUAUUGCUUAUAUUGCUAUGCUAUGCUCGUAGACGUGGUUUGGGUUAGUGAAUCCAUGACUGAUGUGAGAUGAUUAAUUAAUGGUUCAACUUAAGGUGGCAACUUUAAUACACAUCUGGGUGGAUUGCUUGUCGGGCACCUGGAGAAUCCAGUGUUGUCCUAGGAUAUCCCGGAGUACCCGUGUGAUAAUCCUAAGGUCCGCCACCCAGGCUCAAAGGGAACUGAGAUAUUUUCAUGCUAGAAACUUCCGUGUGCAGCCACAAGCUAUUAUGGGCUCUAGCAUAGUUGAGUAAGUUGCAUGAGCUCUUGAAGAGGUGGAUCAGCAGGUAGAGGGAUGUAGGUUGGUAUGGUCUGCCCGGAGUAAAGAGUUAAUGUUUCUGAAAAACUGUGUCUCGGUCAUCCGUUUCUCAAACACCGUGUAGUGCGAGAAAUCCAACGAAGGAGAUCGAGUCUUGUGGGGAAAAGUGCGCAAACCUCUGCAGAGUGUACAAUCUAAUCGUAGUUAGUCCUGUCCUCGGUUAUGGACAUCUUGAUUAUCUAGUACUUGGAUUAUCCUAAGUAUCUCAUCACCCUAAAUUAAUAUUGUUGGGUUGAUAAUCUAUUUAUAUAUAAAAGGAGCUUGAUGGGUUAACUAGAAAAAAAGAGAAAUACAAUAAAAAUCCCACAAAAAAUAGAAAUAUCUGACCAUUAAUUAGUAGACUAAAGUUAUACAACCAUUAGAUUAGAUAUAAUAAAAAUCCCUAUCUGACCGUUAAUUAGUAGACUAAAGUUAUACAACCAUUAGAUUAGAUUUAAGUAGAAAAAUUACCCACCACUGCCAUUAUGAUGAAAAAACCUUUCGUAAAGCAUUGCCAUUGCCAUUAUAAGGAAAACGGCAGUGUGGGACGUGGAUUACUGCUCACACUUGAAGAACAUCUAAACCUAGGGUUUCGUCUAGGUUAUGGAUUGGUUCGGGUUGAUCUUGACCAAAAUACAUGAAGGCGCACUUGAAGAUCGUCUUAACGGGCUCAUCUAGGUACUGGAGUUCGUGUUGAUAUUGAUCAAAACACAUGAAGGCGCACUUGAGUAACAUCUUAACGGGCAGGCUCUUCUAGGUACUGGAGUUCGUGUUGAUUUCAACCAAAAUCGAUGAAGGCGGACUUGAAGAACAUCUUAACCUAGGGAUCUUCUACGUAUUGUAUUGAUUCAUGUUGAUGUCAUCUACCAAAAUCCAUGAGCAUGCCGCGACCUGGGUACAGCCGUACAGGGCCGAUGAAAAUUUAUCUGAGCAUGCAGCGACCUAGGUACAUGAUUACAUGGCCGAUGAAAAUUAAUCUGCAGGGAUCUCCAAGAUUUCUUCUACUAUGGUUAGUCCUCCUCAAAUUGGAAUUUUGAAUCUAGAUUUCUAGAGUAUGGUCCGUUCUUGAAGUUUCUCCUCUUGCGAUUCAAUACACGUACAGAAGCAAGGAAUCCCAGAAGCAAUAAUCUUGAUCGGAGUAGAGAAAUUAUUUUGUGCAAUAAACCUAAUUGGAGUAGAGUAUAUUUCUUUUCUGCGUGCAAGGGAAGGCAAGUCAAUAGGCAGUGUUCGCAUCUGUCCGGAUGAAGCAGACGCACUCAUCAACGCAAGGGGACAUGAGUUAUCAACGCACAAUCAGCUAGCAUCUCGUGGAAAGCACAUGGGAGUAGCAGGAUAGCUAGCAGCUCACAUCAGUGCGUACACCAUGUAUUUUGAAUGCAGAGUUCAGCUUGAUUGAGAACUACGUGUGCAGCUCGACCACGACAUGGAUGCAGAGUUCAGCUUGAUUGAGAACUACGUGUGCAGCUUGCCGUAGACUCCAUACGUGACUGAUCGCUUUUCUCUCUGGCUCUCCUAAACUUCGUGAGAGACUUUGGCUGUCACAAAAGGUCACAACAAGCUGCUCGAGAAAUCAAUCGAUGUUUCUCUUGGCUAGCUUUGCACGUGUAUAUCUUGCUCCAUGGAAAUAAAUCUAGAUCUUAAGAAACAACAUGUAGACUGGAAGUACGCGAGGAAACACUGGCGAUUGGAACGGGAGGCGGCACGGGCGACAGGGUGGACGAACUAAUAUGGAAAUUUUCUGACAGGUUCGACUAAACACUCCACGGUAAGCUCCUGUUGGUUCGCCUACACUAACCCUUUAAUUACGCCAUCGCUCCUCCACGACAGAGUAGUUUUCUUGCAUUAGAUGGAAAGCAUUGUCUCGGGAUAGUUUACUAUUUGCAAGAAUCGUUGUAGAAGAAGUGAAUUUAAUUUCGUCUACACAUGACCAAUUGCUUUGUGUAGAUUUGAUCAUAUAAAGGGAUAAAUCAGGCCAUAAUAAAGAGCAUACAGUUAAGUGGACAUUAUAGGUGACGUUUUUAGGCUUUUAGCUACCAGUUAAGGUGAUGAUGUGAUUGAAGGUUGUUUAGUUACGACAGGAUUACGUUGAUUCUACUGUAGUUACCUUGACACAAUUAGGCUUACGGUAAUUCCUACUUCAUAACAUGAUAUUCGCUGCUUUAGUGGCACUUCAGAAUAAUGUAAGAUUUUCCUAUGUUUCCAGUGAAGGAAACAAUCCAAGUGGUAGAGCUCAUAUAAUUGUCUUCAUUAUUGGUACUUUCGUCAAUUUAGAUAACGAAAUCAUAUCAGAUAUAAGAAUGUCUUGACUUUCCUAUUCCCUUUACUGCCUAUGCAAACUACGCUUUUGACAAAUUCCCACAAUUGUUUGUAAUGUUACUCACGUCAUGUAGAGACUUGUCAUAAUCCUGUAACGUUGCUUCAUCCAAAUGUACAGAUAUUAUCAAUUACAGUGCAUAAUGAUGAUGAAUUCCUUUAGCUAUGCUUCAAAAAAUAGCAGAAACUUGUAAGAAGGUUUGCAAGAGCUAUAUGAAUUCAAAAUGUCCAUCUUGAUUUUAAGGGGAUAUUAACGUGUUUGUAGUUACACUUUAUAGAAUUCUUAUAGCUCUCUGUUUAGAAUUUAACAUGUUUUUAGCAUUGUUACCGUACAUACAAUUUAUAGAUUCUUACAAUGUGUUUGUAGUUACCAGUUGAUCUUUGUUCAUAAGUUUAUCUAGGGUCAAAAUAAGCAUUAGUAUUAUUCCACAAAUGUUUGCAUAAUUCUGCCUACACUGAAUAUACGUGUGCAUGCUUCUAAUUAGACUACCUCUCAUGGUAUUUGCAUCAUGGACUCAGGUCCUUACUUAAGUAAAUAUAAUACAUGGAUCCUUCUGCUGUGAACUAGAAUAACACACUUAUUUCUAGGUUUAAAUAUAGAUUUAAACAUAGUUUUUCUUAGUUUACAUAAUUUACAGUACGGACAACAUAGUUUCAUAGCAUUAUGUGCCACUACACGUGAGGCCGUAGCAAAUUUUUUAUUAUACAACUGUUUUUUUUCGAUUUGGAAGAGAGGAUGCUGAAAUAUAAUGGGAGAAAUCAAUACAGCUGACCCAGUGUCGAACCAUAGUAUGUUCGUCUAUUUCUCACCUUAAUCACUUAAAAUCAGAUAAUUGUAUAAGUAGAGAUGAGAGAUACAUAGAUAUUCGUGCAAACAUACACAUACCUCAAAUUAUUGAAUACUAUACAAGUAAUUGUUUUAGCAGAAAUAGUUCUGGAUAUUAAUGUGAUCUUCUACUAUUACAUAUUUUCUUUUUCUCACUAUAUUUUGUAUGAAAUAGCUUCCAUAUAUAUGUCCUCCAUAGAACACCAUCAAGAUGACUUAUACAAACCCAUAUUAAGUCAACCAGCAUAAUAAGAAAAAAAUUAAUAUUUAUAUAGGACAAUAAUUUUAAUUCUGAUUAUUUCAGAACAAAAGAUGGACUUUCCCCUACAAGCACAUGAACAGAAGGAAUUCAUCACUGAUGAUAUUACUAAGGACAAAACAAAGGAAAUGGAUUUUAAAACUAUUUAGAAGAAUACAAUGCUGGAGGUCGUCUUUUGUCGACACAAAAAGAUCGAUUCAAUAUAGUGACAAUUAGACCAUCAAAGAAUGUGACAGAGUACAAAGAAUGCAGCAUAGCUUUCCCAUCUUUGGUCCCUUCCUCCUAGCGGCCAAUAGAGCGCAACACCAAGUUGGAUAAAUUUAUCUAAAGGCCAACUAACAUUAGACAUCAGCAAAACAGCGCCUAUUGUUGUCCGUCAUUUUUCUACAUGCUGCUCAUGUUUUAGCUAGCUUGAGUUAUGUUUUAGUUCUAAUAUUUCACAAUUAAUCAAGUGGACUUUCACUUUCAAAUUUCAGUAAUCCCUUUCAAGUUUCACCUAAAAAACAAAACUAACAUUUCUAUAAGGAUUCUCAAUAUAUUAAUUUGUUCACUAUAAAUCAUUUAUCCAUUUCUAGAGUUUCCCGUGACUAUAAUGAAAAUGCAAACAAAAAGUUAAUGACAAGUUGAUGGAAUCAAUUUUCAAGUGUGUCAAGUCCAUUAUGAGUUAAUUUAUUUUCACCAAAAUUUUCUGCUAAGAAUUGAUGCCCACUCAUAUAGCUAACAUUUCAAAAUAUAGAUCACAUCAUUUUACUAAGAGUUUUGGAGUACGAAAAAUCAGAUGGACAAAAUAAGUUAAAACAUAAUUAAGACAAGUUGCACCACUUCAUGUUCAUUUAAAAUAACACAUCACACAAAUAUAAGAAAAAAUUAUGUUCCCUUCCAACUAAUCUAGCCACUGACCUAACCCACCAAAUGAACCAGACCGGGUCAGCGCAAAAAGGACCGGCCGGUUCAACUCAAACCGGGAGCAGCCAGACCAAAAGGACGACCAUUGGCCAUAGUGGCACGACAGUAGCACGCAGGAGCUCACCCGAGCACGCAGGAGCAUACGAGGUGAGGCUAUGCGGGGUGUGGGGCUAGCUGGUCUACAAUAAACUCCAAUUGUUAUGGGGAUCCCAAUGCAAUAUUCUCUUCUAAUUAUACAUAUCCAUAUCUUAUAAUUUUAUCAGGGAAUAUCUUAUAGCUUUACAUCGUGUUUGUUCAAUCUAUUUGUAUGUACCCAAAUGACAGAAUAAUUAUCUACUCUCUGCCAAAGUGUUUAAUUUUUUAGGUCCAUUGAUGGUGGAUAAUAUCCUUGGAGAACUUGACACACACCUCCACCUACAAAGGCUACACCAAGACUUAGUGAUUCGGUAAAUUGAUGCGUACAUAUAUUUUAUGUGUUUGUUCCAUCCAACUACCUAUCUUUUAUCACUUGAUCAAGACAAUUCAAGCACUGACAGAUAAGUGUUCUCAAGCAUCGUGAUGACAAGAUAUAAAUUGAAAAAAAUUGAUGAGUACAUAUUUUUUAUUUGUUUGUUCCAUCCAACUACCAUCUUUCAUCACUUGAUCAAGCCAAAUCGACCACUAACAGGUAAGUGUUAUCAACCAUCCCCUUGACAAGAUAUAAAUUGAAAACACAUUUGGAAAUAUAAAUAUGUUAAAACAUUUAUGGCAAUAUUAAUGGCGUGCUUGAACAGGUUGAUAUGUAUGCAUUUGUUGAAUGCUCUUUAACCAUUUAGGUAUGUUUGUGGGGAUAUCAAAAUUAGUUAUUAAACUUUAUAAAAUUCUAGCCCGCGCAUCGAGCGGGCCACUUUGCUAGUUACUUUUAAUUGGGAUUGAGUUGGAGGAACCUUCUCAGUGAUGUUUCAACUACCAUGAUAGUUAAAAUAAAACUUAUUCCUUUGUUGUAGGGAAAAAUUGGUUUUUCGCAAAACUAUAACCAUAGAGCUUUCCACUAGCCAAAUAUGCAUGUAGUGAUAGCAUUAUUCUGUUCUUGCUCUAUUGUGUUAUAUUGCCAGCAUAUUCCAUGUGCUGACCCAUUUCCGGGCUGCAACGUAUUAUGUUGCAGACUUUUCAGAUAAGGAGUAAGGUUCAUUAGGUCGUUGCCGUGCAGCUCAGCUAUGUCGUUGGAGUUGAUGGACUCACUUUAUCUUCCAAGCCUUCCGCUGUUAUCGUAUUAGAUGGACUUAAGCCAUAUUUGUUGUAAUAAGUUCUCUUCUGAGACAUUCUAUGUAAUAAGUGUGUGAUUGCUACUCUGUUAUAAAUCCUUUGAGUAAUGUGUGUGUCAGCAUUACCGGUCCAGGGAUGACACUGAAGCACAGAGACUUGACAGUUUGAGGUCGGGUCAUUGCACUAGCAUAAUUUUCACGCAAUACAUGAGCGUGAGCCAUGGACAUAGCACUAUAGGUGGAAUAGAAUGGUGGUUGUGGAGAGGACAAAAAGGAGAAGAUAGUCUCACAUCAACUAGGCGUAUCAAUGGGCUAUGGAGAUGCCCAUCAAUAGAUAUCAAUGUGAUUGAGUAGGGAUUGCCAUGCAACGGAUGCACUAGAGCUAUAAAUGUAUGAAAGCUCGACAAAAGAAACUAAGUGGGUGUGCAUCCAACUUGCUUGCUCACGAAGACCUAGGGCAAUUUGAGGAAGCCCAUCAUUGAAAUAUACAAGCCAAGUUCUAUAAUGUAAAAUUCCCACUAGUAUAUGAAAGUGACGAAAUAGGAGACUCUCUAUCAUGAAGAUCAUGGUGCUACUUUGAAGCACAAGUGUGGAAAAAGGAUAGUAGCAUUGUCCCUUCUCUCUUUUUCUCCCAUUUUUUAUUUUUUUAUUUGGGCCUUUCUCUUUUUCUUAUGGCCUCUUUUUUUCGUCCGGAGUCUCAUCCCGACUUGUGGGGGAAUCAUAGUCUCCAUCAUCCUUUCCUCACAUGGGACAAUGCUCUAAUGAUGCUCAUCACACUUUUAUUUAUUUACAACUCAAGGAUUACAACUCGAUACUUAAAACAAAGUAUGACUCUAUGUGAAUGCCUCUGGUGGUGUAUCGGGAUAUGCAAUGAAUCAAGAGUGACAAGUAUGAAAAAUUUAUGAACGGUGGCUUUGCCACAAAUAUGAUGUCAACUACAUGAUCAUGCAAAGCAAUAUGACAAUGAUGGAGCGUGUCAUAAUAAACGGAACGGUGAAAAUUUGCAUGGAAAUAUAUCUUGGAAUGGCUAUGGGAAUGCCAUAAUAGGUAUGUAUGGUGGCUGUUUUGAGGAAGGUAUAUGGUGGGUGUAUGAUACCGGCAAAAGUUGCGCGGUACAAGAGAGGCUAGCAAUCGUGGAAGGGUGAUAGUGCGUAUAACCCAUGGACUCAACAUUAGUCAUAAAGAACUCACAUACUUACUGCAAAAAUCUACAAGUUAUCAAAAUGAAGUACUACACGCAUGCUCCUAGGGGAAGGGUUGGUAGGAGCUAACCAUCGCGCGAUCCCGACCUCCACACAAAGGAUGACAACCAAUAAAUAAAUCAUGCUCCGACUUCAUCACAUAAUGGUUGACCAUACGUGCAUGCUACGGGAAUCGCAAACUUUAACACAAGUAUCUCUCAAAUUCACAAUUAUUCCACUAGCAUGACUCUAAUAUCACCAUCUUCAUAUCUCAAUACAAUCAUAAAGAAUCAAACUUCUCAUAGUAUUCAAUUGACUUUAUAUGAUAGUUUUUAUUAUACCCCUCUUGGAUGCCCAUCAUAUUAGGACUAAUUUUAUAGCCAAAGCAAAUUACCAUGCUGUUCUAAAAGACUCUCAAAAUAAUAUAAGUGAAGCAUGAGAGACCAAUAAUUUCUAUAAAAUAAAACCACCACCGUGCUCUUAAAGAUAUAAGUGAAGCACUAGCGCAAAAUUAUCUAGCUCAAAAGAUAUAACUGGAGCACAUAGAGUAUUCUAAUAAAUUUCGAUUCAAGCGUGUCUAUCCCAAAAGGUGUGUACAACAAGGAUGAUUGUGGUAAACUUAAAAGGAAAAACUCAAAUCAUACAAGACACUCCAAGCAAAACACAUAUCAUGUGGUGAAUAAAAAUAUAGUCUCAAGUAAAGUUACCGAUAGACAAAGACGAAAGAGGGGAUGCCCCGGAAGGCAUCCCCAAGCAUAGGCUUUUGGUUGUCCUUGAAUUUUACCUUGGGGUGCAUUGGGCAUCCCCAAGCUUAGUCUAUUUCCACUCCUUAUUCCAAAAUCCAUCAAAUCUUUACCCAAAAACUUGAAAACUUCACAACACAAAACUUCAACAAAAAAAAUCUCAUGAGCUCCGUUAGUAUAAGAAAAUAAACCACCACUUUAAGGUACUGUAAUGAAAUCAUUAUUUAUUUAUAUUGGUGUUAAAUCUACUGUAUUCCAACUUAUCUAUGGUUCAUACCCCCCGAUACUACCCAUAGAGAGUCAUCAAAAUAAGCAAACAACACACGAAAAACAGAAUUUGCCAAAAACAGAACAGUCUGUAGCAAUCUAUAACUUUCGAAUACUUCUGUAACUCUAAAAAUUCUGAAAAAAUUGGUGGACGUGGGAAAUUUGUCUAUUAGUCAUCUUCAAAAAGAAUAAACCUAAAAGAACUCUCCAGUAAAAAAUGACAGCUAAUCUCGUGAGUGCAAAAGUUUCUAUUUUUUAAAGCAAGAUCGCAAAGACUUCACCCAAGUCUUCCCAAAGGUUCUACUUGGCACAAACACUAAUUAAAAUAUAAAACCACAUCUAAACAGAAGAUAUAAGAAUUAUUUAUUACUAAACAAGAAUAAAAAGCGAAGAACAAAAAUAAAAUUGGGUUGCCUCCCAACAAGCGCUAUCAUUUAACGCCCCUAGCUAGGCAUAAAAACAAGGAUAGCUCUAGGUAUUGCCAUCUUCGGUAUGCAAUCCAUAAGUGGCUCUCAUAAUUGAUUCAUAAGGUAAUUUAAUUUUCUUCCUAGGAAAAUGUUCCAUGCCUUUCCUUAACGAAAAUUGGAAUCUAAUAUUUCCUUCUUUCAUUUCAAUAAUUGCACCAAUCGUUCUAAGAAAAGGUCUACCAAGAAUAAUAGGACAUGUAGGAUUGCAAUCUAUAUCAAGAACGAUGAAAUAUACGGGAACAUAAUUCCUAUUUGUAACAAUAAGAACAUCAUUAAUCCUUCCCAUAGGUUUCUUAACAGUGGAAUCCGCAAGUUGCAAAUUUAAAGAGCAAUCAUCAAAUUCACGGAAACCUAGCACAUCACAUAAAGUUUUUGGAAUCGUGGAAACACUAGCACCCAAAUCACACAAAGCAUAGCAUUCAUAAUAUUUAAUCUUAAUUUUAAUAGUAGGUUCCCACUCAUCAUAAAGUUUUCUAGGGAUAGAAACUUCUAGUUCAAGCUUUUCUUCAUAAGAUUGCAUUAAAGCAUCAACGAUAUGUUUAGUGAAAGCUUUAUUUUGAUUAUAAGCAUGAGGAGAAUUCAACAUGGACUGCAACAAGGAAAUACAAUCUAUCAAAGAGCAAUUAUCAUAAUUAAAUUCCUUGAAAUCCAAAAUAGUGGCUUCAUUGCUAUGUGAAGUUUUGACCUCUUCAAUCCUACUUUUAUUAAUUUUAGCAUCAAGAUCUAAAAACUCAGAAUCAUUGGGACGCCUUUUAACUAAAGUUGACUCAUCUCCAGUCCCAUCUUUAUCAAGAUUCAUAUUGGAAAACAAAGAUUUAAUAGGAGUCACAUCAAUCACUUUUAGAUCUUCAUCUUUAUUAUCAUAAAAACUAGAAGAACACGCUUUCACAAAGCAAUCAUUUUUAGCACGCAUCCUAGUGGUUCUUUAUUUGCACUCAUCAAUGGAAAUUAUCAUAGCUUUGAGAGACUCAUUGAUAUCAUGAUUAGGUGGAAUAGAUCUAAGUUUCAAAGAAUCAAUAUCAAGAGAAAUUCUAUCCACAUUCCUAGCCAACUCGUCCAUCUUAAGCAAUUUUUCUUCAAGCAAGGAAUUGAAAUUCUUUAACACUUGUUUCAAAAUCAGAGGGCAUCUUAUUAAAAUUUCCAUAAGAGUUGUUGUAGGAAUUACCAUAAUUAUUAGAGGAAUUACUAGGGAGCGGCCUAGAAUUAAAGUUUCCUCUAUACGCGUUGUUGCCAAAAUUGUUCCUACCAACAAAAUUCACAUCCAUAGAUUCAUUGUUAUUCUCAAUCACAGUGGACAAGAGCAUAGAUUCAUUGUUGCCAAACACUUUCAUUAGCAAACAAUUUCUUUAUUUCAUCCAUCUUUCCACUCAAAACAUUAAUCUCUUCAAUAGCAUGAACCUUUUUACUAGUGGAUUUUUCGGUGUGCCAUUGAGAAUAAUUAACCAUAAUAUUCUCUAGGAGUUUAGAAGCUUCUCCUAAAGUGAUUUCCAUAAAAGUGCCUCCCGCGGCUGAAUCUAAAAGAUUUCUAGAAGAAAAAUUCAAUCCGGCAUAAUUUUUUUGUAUAAUCAUCCACAAAUUCAAACCAUGUGUAGGGCAAUUACGAAUCAUUAAUUCCAUCCUCUGCCAAACUUGUGCAACAUGCUCAUGAUCAAGUUGCUUAAAAUACGUAAUAUCGUUCCUAAGAGAGAUGAUCUUAGCGGGAGGAAAAUAGUUAAAGAUAAACUCAUCUUUGCACUUAUUUCAAGAAUCAAUACUAUUUUUAGGCAAAGAAGAGAACCAAGUUUUAGCACAAUCUCUAAGUGAAAACGGAAAUAGCUUCAAUUUAACAAUAUCAUUAUCCACAUCUUUCUUCUUUUGCAUAUCGCACAAAUCAACAAAGUUGUUUAGAUGGAUAGCGGCAUCUUCACUAGGAAGGCCAGAAAAUUGAUCUUUCAUAACAAGAUUCAACAAAGCAGCAUUAAUUUCACAAGAUUCAGCAUCGGUAGUAGGAGCAAUCGGAGUGCUAAUAAAAUCAUUGUUGUUGGCAUUGGAAAAGUCACACAAUUUAGUAUUAUCUUGAGCCAUAGAGACAAACAAUCAAUCCAACACACAAGCACACAAGAAGCAAGCGAAAAGAGGCGAACGGAAGAGAGGUGAAGAAAAGGAAAAGGUUUUUGAAAAUCAUUUUAGAAGUGGGGGAGAGGAAAACGAGAGGUGAAUGGCAAAUAAUGUAACGCGAGGGAGAAGAGUUUGUGAUGGGUACUUGGCAUGUCUUGACUUGAGCGUAGAACUCCCCGAUAGCGGCGCCAGAAAUCCUUCUUGCUACCUCUUGAGCAUGCGUUGGUUUUUCCCUUGAAGAGGAAAGGGUGAUGCAGCAAAGUAGCGUAAGUAUUUCCCUCAGUUUUUGAGAACCAAGGUAUCAAUCCAGUAGGAGACAACAUGCAAGUCACCUAGUACCCGCACAAACAACCAAGAAGCUUGCAACCAACACAAUAAAGGGGUUGUCAAUCCCUUCACGGUCACUCGCAAAAGUGAGAUCUGAUAGAGAUAGCAAAGUAAAUAUUUUUGGUAUUUUUGUUGUAUAUAUUUGCAAAAUAGUAAACGAGAUGCGAUGUAAAUAGAAGUGAUUCAAGAUAAUAGGAAAGAGACCUGGGGGCCAUAGAUUUCACUAGUGGCUUCUCUCAAGAUAGCAUAUAUUACUGUGGGUGAACAAAUUACUGCCGAGCAAUUGAUAGAAAAGCGCAUCAUUAUGAGAAUAUCUAGGCAAUGAUUAUGAAUAUAGGCAUCACGUCCAUGUCAAGUAGACCAAAACAAUUCUGCAUCUACUACUAUUACUCCACACAUCGACCGCUAUCCAGCAUGCAUCUAGAGUAUUAAGUUCAUAAGAACAGAGUAACGCAUUAAGCAAGAUGACAUGAUGUAGAGGGAUAAACUCAAGCAAUAUGAUAUAAACCCCAUCUUUUUAUCCUCGAUGGCAACAAUACAAUACGUGCCUUGCUGCCCCUACUGUCACUGGGAAAGGACACCGCAAGAUUGAACCCAAAGCUAAGCACUUCUCCCAUUGCAAGAAAGAUCAAUCUAGUAGGCCAAACUAAACCGAUAAUUCGAAGAGACUUGAAAAGGUAUCUAAUCAUGCAUAUAAGAAUUCAGAGAAGAACCAAAUAUUAUUCAUAGAUAAACUUGAUCAUAAAUCCACAAUUCAUCGGAUCUCGGUAAACACACUGCAAAAGAAUAUUACAUCGAAUAGAUCUCCAAGAAAAUCAAGGAGAACUUUGUAUUGAGAACCAAAGAGAGAGAAGAAGCCAUCUAGCUAAUAACUAUGGACCCGGAGGUCUGUGGUAAACUACUCACGCUUCAUCGGAGAGGCUAUGGUGAUGAUGUAGAAGCCCUCCAUGAUCGAUUCCCCCUCCUGCGGAGCGCCAAAAAGGCCCUAAGAUGGGAUCUCACGUGUACAGAAGGUUGCGGCGGUGGAAAAGUGGUUUCGUGGAUGCCCCUAAUGAUUCUAGGGUAUAAGGGUAUAUAUAGGCUGAAGAAGUACGUCGGUGGAGCUACGUGGGGCCCACUAGGGUGGGGGCGUGCCUACCCCCCUGGGCGCGCCCUCCUGCCUCGUGGCCGCCUCGCGGAGUUCCAGACUUCAACUCCAAGUCUUCUGGAUUGCUUCCGUUCCAACAAAGAUCAUCGCGAACGUUUAUUCCGUUUGAUAUUCCUUUUCUGCAAAACACCGAAAUAGGCAAAAAAUAGAAACUGGCACUGGGCCCUCGAUUAAUAAGUUAGUCCCAAAAAUAAUAUAAAAGAGCAUAUUAAAGCCCAUUAAACAUCCAAAACAGAUAAUAUAAUAGCAUGGAACAAUAAAAAAUUAUAGACAUGUUGGAGACGUAUCAACUAUCGCUACCGCUUAGUGAUAAAGUAAAGCAAUUACAUGGCGAUUGCAUUUCAUACAAUAAAGCGACAACCAUAAGGCUCCUCCAAGUUGCCGAGAACUUUUACAAAACAUGAUCAUCUCAUACAACAAUUUAUUUAUCAUCACGUCUUGACCAUAUCACAUCACGGCAAGCCCUGCAAAAACAAGUUAGACGUCCUCUACUUUGUUGUUGCUAGUUUUACGUGGCUGCUACGGGCUUAGCAAGAACCGUUCUUACCUACGCAUAAAAACCACAACAAUUUUUUGUCAAGUGUGUUGUUUUAACCUUCAACAAGGAUCGGGCGUAGUCAAACUCGAUUCAACUAAAGUUGGAGAAACAGACACCCACUAGCCACCUGUGUGUGAAGCACGUCGGUAGAACCAGUCUCAUGAACGCGGUCAUGUAAUGUCGGUCUCGGCCGCUUCAUCCCACAAUACCGCUGAAUCAAAGUAUGACAUGCUGGUAAGCAGUAAGACUAUUAUCGCCCACAACUCUUUGUGUUCUACUCGUGCAUAUAACAUCUACGCAUAGACCUGGCUCAGAUGCCACUUUUGGGAAAUGCAGUAAUUUCAAAAAAUAUCCUACGAUCAUGCAUGAUCUAUCUAGGAGAAGCAUAGCAAGGAGAGGGGAGAAUGUGUCCACGUACCCUCGUAGACCGAAAGCGGAAGCGUUUAGUAACGCGGUUGAUGUAGUCGAACUUCUCGCGAUCCAACCGAUUCAAGUACCGAAAAUACGACACCUCCGCGUUCAGCACACGUUCAGCUCGAUGACGUCCCUCGUACUCUUGAUCCAGUUGAGGCCGAGGGAGAGUUUCGUCAGCACGACGGCGUGGCGACGGUGAUGAUGAAGUUACCGGUGCAGGGCUUUGCCUAAGCACUACGACGAUAUGACCGAGGUGUGUAACUGUGGAGGGGGGCACCGCACACGGCUAAAAGAUCAACUUGUGUGUUCUAGGGUGCCCCCUUGCCCCAUAUACAAAGGAGGGAGAGGGAGAGGAAGCCGGCCCUAGGGGGUGCGCCAAGGUGUGGAGUUCUACUAGGACUCCCUAGUCCUAGUAGGAUUCCACCUCGCACACGGAAUAGGAAAGGGGGAAGGGAGAAGGAGAAGGAAGGGGGACUGGCCCCCUUCUCCUAGUCCUAAUCGGCCUCCUGCCCAAGGGGGGCGCACCAGCCCCUUGUGGGCUGGUGUGCUUCCCUCUUAUGGCCCAAAUGGCCCAUAACUUCUGCCGGGGGGUUCCUGUAUCCUCCCGGUACUCCGAAAAAUACCCGAACUUCUCCGGAACCAUUCUGAUGUCUAAAUAUAGCCUUCCAAUAUAUCAAUCUUUAUGUCUCGACCAUUUCGAGACUCCUCGUCAUGUCCAUGAUCUCAUCCAGGACUCUAAACAAACUUCGUUUCAUCAAAUCACAUAACUCAUAAUACAAAUCGUCAUCGAACGUUAAGUGUGCGGACCCUACGGGUUCGAGAACUAUGUAGACAUGACCGAGACACAUCUCCAGUCAAUAACCAAUAGCAGAACCUGGAUGCUCAUAUUGGCUCCUACAUAUUCUACGAAGAUAUUUAUCGGUCAAGCCGCAUAACAACAUACGUUGUUCCCUUUGUCAUCGGUAUGUUACUUGCCCGAGAUUAUCGUUGGUAUCAUCAUACCUAGUUCAAUCUCGUUACCAUCAAGUCUCAUUACUCGUUCUGUAAUACUUUAUCCUGCAACUAACUCAUUAGUCACAUUGCUUGCAAGGCUUAUUGUGAUGAGCAUUACCGAGAGGGCCCAGAGAUACCUCUCUGAAACACGGAGUGACAAAUCCUAAUCUUGAUCUAUGCCAACCCAACAAAUACCUUCGGAGACACCUAUAGAGCAUCUUUAUAAUCACCCAUUUACGUUGUGACAUUUGAUAGCACACAAAGUGUUCCUCCGGUAUUCGGGAGUUGCAUAAUCUCAUAGUCUGAGGAACAUGUAUAAGUCAUGAAGAAAGCAGUAGCAACGAAACUGUAAAGAUCAUAAUGCGAAGCUAACGAAUGGGUCUUGUCCAUCACAUCAUUCUCCUAAUGAUGUGAUCCCGUUCAUCAAAUGACAACACAUGUCUAUGGUUAGGAAACAUAGCCAUCUUUGAUAAACGAGCUAGUCAAGUAGAGGCAUACUAGAGACACUCUUUGUUUUAUCUAUGUAUUCACACAUGUACUACAUUUCCGGUUAAUACAAUUCUAGCAUGAAUAAUAAACAUUUAUCAUGAAAUAAGAAAAUAAAUAAUAACUUUAUUAUUGCCUCUAGGGCAUAUUUCCUUCAGUCUCCCACUUGCACUAGAGUCAAUAAUCUAGUUCACAUCGUCAUGUGAUUUAACACCAAUAGUUCACAUCUUUAUGUUUUUAACACCCAUAGUUCACAUCGCCAUGUGUGAUGUCUGGAUAAUUAUGCUACAGUAACCCUCUCUUAAUGAUGCUACAUCACCACAAUUACUGAUGUUAAUCUCACGGUGAUUCAAAUUCCGCUCGAAUUUAAAUUCAAAAUCGAGUCAAACUGUAAAGUUUUCAGAUGAUAAAACAAAAAUGUUUUGGAUGUGACAAAUAAUUCAUAAGUAAUAUUAGUGGAGAAACCAACCUCUUUGAAAAUGUUUGAUUGUCCUAAAGUAAACAAAACAGUAGGAAAACAAUUAAUUAAAUGUUUUUCCAAUUAAUAAAAUGUUAAACUAUUUUAUCUAGUUGCCCAAGUUUUUGUGGCAUUAGAAUUUGUAGUAACACUAUUUUAGAAACUAAUUUUAUAUUUUAUAAAACUAUAGUAAAUAGAAAAUAAAGUAAAUGGUAAAAUGAAAAUAAAUAAAAAGAGCAGGCAAAACAGGAAAGUAAAAUAAAACAAAAGGUAAACCCCUAGCCCAACUGGGCUUUAACCCAGCCGGCCCACCCGCGCCCCUGGCCUAUAUGGCCUGCGGUGCCCAACCCUAGCUCGACCGACACCUCCACAACCCCCACUCACCCGCACAUCCCCUCCCCUCGAUCUCCCACGAUCCCCUCUCUUCCUCGGUCACUCCUCCCCCCUCUCCCGAUCCCAUCUGGAUCGGGCCAACCGCCCCGCACUCGCCUGCCACCGCAUCGGCGCCACCUCGCCACGACUUCGCCCCGCCGUACCCAGCCGCGGUCGUCGCUGCUCCCGGUGAGCCGCCCCGCGGCGCCACCACCAACGGGCCCCCCUUGCUGGCCCGNNNNNNNNNNNNNNNNNNNNNNNNNNNNNNNNNNNNNNNNNNNNNNNNNNNNNNNNNNNNNNNNNNNNNNNNNNNNNNNNNNNNNNNNNNNNNNNNNNNNNNNNNNNNNNNNNNNNNNNNNNNNNNNNNNNNNNNNNNNNNNNNNNNNNNNNNNNNNNNNNNNNNNNNNNNNNNNNNNNNNNNNNNNNNNNNNNNNNNNNNNNNNNNNNNNNNNNNNNNNNNNNNNNNNNNNNNNNNNNNNNNNNNNNNNNNNNNNNNNNNNNNNNNNNNNNNNNNNNNNNNNNNNNNNNNNNNNNNNNNNNNNNNNNNNNNNNNNNNNNNNNNNNNNNNNNNNNNNNNNNNNNNNNNNNNNNNNNNNNNNNNNNNNNNNNNNNNNNNNNNNNNNNNNNNNNNNNNNNNNNNNNNNNNNNNNNNNNNNNNNNNNNNNNNNNNNNNNNNNNNNNNNNNNNNNNNNNNNNNNNNNNNNNNNNNNNNNNNNNNNNNNNNNNNNNNNNNNNNNNNNNNNNNNNNNNNNNNNNNNNNNNNNNNNNNNNNNNNNNNNNNNAUGCGCGUUGUGGCCUCGCACGCAGCCCCACGCCCCCGCCACGUCCUUGGUCGCCUGCAGCCGCGCCCGUCACUGCCUACCUCGCCCAGGUCGGGCGCUGAUCGCGCCCGGUGCCCGCCUAACCACGCCGGCCUGAGCUCCCGUGUCUGCAGCGCCGUCGCCGCUGUCGUUUGCCCCGCAUGCCCCAGCCCUCUGCCCUGCUCCUGCUCCUUGUCGCUCUUCCCCAACCGCGCCCGUGCCUCCUCUGGUCGGCGCCGUGACCGCCGGCGCACCUCUGUGUGCGCUCGUGCGUGUGCACGUCGGUCGCUGGUGGUUGGCUAAAGCCACUGUCAUGUGCCCCCCUCACUAAUUAGCCUGCUUAGGUUAACUAAAAAUUAUUUAAGUUAAUCAAAACCCAUUGAGUCACUGACAACAUGGCCCCACUUAGUAGUUAUUCUAAAUAGAUUAAAUAAACACCGUUUAUAUUAACUCUAAUAAACACCGACUCAAUGACAGCUGGGCCCCAUCUAAACACUAUUCACCUUUUGACUAGUCAAAUGUUGACUGGGUCAACUCUGCUGACUGGACCACUCCUGGACCCCACUAGUCAUACACUCAGGCUAGUAUAGAGCUACUCCCUCCGUCCGCCAAAGAGUGAACGUCUGGCUCGAGUAAUUUUCCCAAAAUAAGUGAACGUCUGGCUCCGCAGCGAUCCACCGAGGUAAUUUUACGUUCACCCCCUCGGUCUACGCCUCGAGGCACCCGCAGCGGUCCACCACCCAAUCCACUCGUUCUCACCCCUGACGACCCAAUCCACUCGUCCUCUCCCCCAAAAUUUCCCCAAUCUUCCUCCUCUCCCCCAACGUUUCUUCUCCCGGAUCCAAUCCCAGUUCGCUGGGAGUCAAUCCUCCAAUCCAAGCCAGUCAUUGGUCAUCGAGAGAGUAAUGGCGGCCAGUCCAUAUAAACUCCCAGUACGGUGUGCAUCUCACUGGAGCCAUGGCGGGCGGCGGAGCGGGCGGAGGAGCGGAAGCCGGCGAUGGCCAGCGAGUCGAGGCCGUCGCGGCGGCCGGCGGCGCAACACGCGGCCGCGAAAGAUCUGGUUCUGGAGGCCCUCACCGUGCUCGUGCAGUCAAGUUUCGACCGCGUUCGCCCUCGUACAUCCGUCGGCGGCGGCAAUUCGGUUGCGGCGCCAAGAUCCUUGACCUGGACGAGGACAUAGGGGCUGAUGGUGAAGCGGGUGUUGGCCGUGGAGGCGCUGUACCCGGCACUGCAGCGGGUCAUGCGGCUAACCAGGUCGGCGCGGCAGCUGGUGCUGGGCAAGACAUCGCGUCUGUAGGUGUUGGGCAAGACGGCACGGCAGCAUCAGUGCAUCCUGGGGCUGACCAUGACGCAGCAGCCGCAGGUGCUGGGGGCGUUGAGGAGAAGCUACACAAGCACUAGUAGAUCCGUAAGUUGGCUGGAUGCAGUCUUCAAUUUGCUUGGCUUUUAGUUUGGCUGGAUGUAGUAAGUAUGGCUGCAUAUUUUUAUGUUCUGCAAGUAUGAAAAUCGAUUCAUACUAUUGGAGUAUGGCAGAUAUUAUUACUAUGGAUGAUCUAAAUUUAUGGUGAUUAGUGUCGUGGUCUCUAAAAAUAAUUUUCGGUUAUGGAUGAUCCAUUGUUAUGGUGAUUAGUGUCCUGGUCUCUAAAGAUAAUUUUCAGUUAUGUAUGAUCUCUUGUUACAACAGUGAUUUUAGGUUGGAUAAAUGGUGCUAUGUUGAUGAAUAAACAAUCAAGUCCUGGUCUCUAAAAUCAUGCUAUCAUACAGAGAUUGUAGUGUUAUUGUAACAACAUUUAUGAUGAUCUCUUGUACCAGAUGAUUUGAUCAACUGAUUUCAUAUGAAAAUUACUCUGGCCAUGGAUACUAGAUGACGGAAAAUCUCGGGAACCAUACUGAGGUCAACUACAAUCCUUUUGCGCCCACAGUUUUUCGGCUUCCUUGAUCUUACAUCAACGGGUACGCCUUGUCGAUGGCACUCCUUCACUCUCCUCCAAACACGUCUGACCUUCUGCACCGAAACAUGGAACAUGUUUGCAACUUCUCUGGUUGUGGUCUUCUUUAAUUUCCGAUUGACACUUCUUGCUAGCAACUCUUCAUAAAUACCAGUCCUUUGCAAAUCUGUUAAAUUCUUGUAUUUGUCUUCAUGAUGAACUUGCUCAUUAUCUUGUUGCUCUUGCUCCACAUACAUGUCUUCUUCUGGUGCUGAAUCAUACAUGGCUUCAUCUGCUGAAUCAUCAAGCUCUUCUUCCUCAAACUGAAUCUCUAUAUCGCCUGCAUACACACCAUAGUCUUCCUCGUCAACUUGAAGGUUAUUUAGAGCUUCAUCCAUUGCUUGCACUUCCUCUUCCAUGCUCUGGAAAACACCGCCUUGUUCUUCAAGUUCAUGGUCUACAAGGUGAGGUUAUGUGAGUAGUUGUAAUAUUAUAAUUAAACAUUCAUAUAUGCUAUAACUAAAUUAUUUUACUAACCCGAUUCAUCUGAUUCAUGCAGGUUCUCUUCUCCAUGGGCAACAUUGGCCUCAUGUUCCUCUUCUCCAUGGGCAAUGUCGGGCUCAUGUUCAUCUUCUACAUGAAGACCGACAUGGGGUUCUUCAUGCAAGGCAGCCUCAAGUUCGUCCUCUAUGGCGAAGAAGAAUAAUCAGCAGGUGCACAUGAACAAAGAGAACAAAGGAGUAGACGAUCAAGAUGUACCUGGGCUCAUGUUCAGAUCGAUUUGACGACCAACCUGGAGCAGUUCUUCAUGCAAGGCAACCUCAAGUUCGUCCUCUAUGGCAAAGAAGAAUCAUCAGCAUGUGCACAUGAACAAGGAGAACAAAUGAAAAGAUGAUCAAGAUGUACCUGGGUUCAGGUUCAAAUCGAUUUGAUGACCAACCUGGAGCAAUUCUUCAUGCAAGGGAGGCACAUGUUCAACUUCUCCCUCUCCUGGUGCUAUGUUCAAGUCAAUGGCCAUGGCCUCUCUAUGUGUUGUUCUACUUGGCGCUAGUUUGCUGCUUGUUCUACUUGGUGCUACUGUGCUAGCUUUAUAGCUGGUUGUUCUACUUGAAAUCUGGCUCAUAGCUCAAUUCUGUAAUUUGCCGCUUCUAAUUCUGUAAUCUGGCGCCAUAUUGUACUAGUACUCAGCUACUAGUUGUGGAUGGUGGGAAGUGUUGUGGCGGGAACAAUUCUCUGUUGGCAAAGCUGUAUUUACUUCUCCCUUCUCAUUUAUUAUCAACGGGAAUCGAAGCAUUGGUACAGCUGUUGGCAC
This 53103-nucleotide long non-coding RNA is filed under the name Triticum aestivum (bread wheat). RNAcentral's name for it is "long non-coding RNA (TAES_LNC020268)". The record is from RNAcentral. Lineage: Eukaryota; Viridiplantae; Streptophyta; Magnoliopsida; Poales; Poaceae.